AAAUUCUUACUUUAAAUUCUACCUUGUUAUUCCAAAUCAAAGUAAUUAUUCAUUUCGGAUUCUAAGGUUUUUUAACAAUACCAACUUAAUUUAUAAAAAAUUUAAAUUAUCAUUUUGGUCCUCAAUUUUUAUAAUAUAAAGUCAUGUUAAUUCUUCUAUCUUCACUAGUCUCUUAGUAUUAAUCAUGUUGUACAACUCACCAAUAUGAUAUCAUUUUCCAUUAUUAUUUUUGCCAAAAUUUUAAAACAACACGAGAUUGUUUCCCUCAAAUUAUGAUGAAAAUUCUUCUUUCAUAUUAGCCUUGAACUCAUUUAUAUUCAUUGCAUUAUCCAUCACAUGUUCUCUUUUUAGGGUUUUGAAUUUCUUUUUAGUGCUUGCUCAAUCUUCAAUUCACAUAAUAUUUCUUUCUCUCCUAAAAACAAUCAAAAUGUCAAAAAUAGUGAUUAGCAAAAUCUCUUGAAAGCAAUGAACAAUGAUAAUAUUAAAAUAUAUCAUCAUCUAAAUGUUUCUUUAGGUGCCUUAGAAUUUUUUAUAUGUUUACAACAAUAACUAUUUUUGGUACUACCAUGUAUCAAACACAUUUUUUGGUAAGGAACUAAUCUCUUUCGGGAUUCGUGUUUGUCUCUCCCAACAAGUGUUGCUCACAUAAAUCGAACCACAACAACUAUUUUGUAAUGACAUAUUGGUAUCUUGAUAUCUACCGAGUAAGCAAUAAUCAGAAUUGGAAAAUGUUUCUGAUGAUCUUGAUAUCUAUUGAGUAACUUUAUAUUACAAUGAGCGUUUCUAAGUAAAAAAUAUGUACAAAAAAAAAUACUCCAAAAUUAAACUUCCAAACUUAAGGCUUCACCUUACAUAACAUGAUUCACAAGUCAAGACUCAAUUUUUUGUACCAAACUUUAUUGCAACAUUAACUAUCAUGUCUAAUGGAAAUGAGUAAGUGAUAUUUCAAAAGAACUUCUCAAAUUAAGCCACAACCAAACAAGAAUAAACACAUAGUUUCGGCAGCAACUGAUUUUCCUAAUCCUAAUCCUAAUCCUAAUCCUAAUCCGACUCAUAUUUCUCUGAAGUGAAUAACAUAUAAAAGUAAAACAUUGAAUUGAGAAGAUAAACUUCAGUUGACAGUAAAAAGAGAGAAAGAUGAAGAAUAAACAAAACUAGUAUUCCAGUAUUCCCAAAUUAGUAAAAUAGCUUUAAACAAACAAAUGAAUGUCCCUCUUAUCUGAUUUAAGCACUCUGUGUGGUUUGAAGAAGCUUAUCAAUCAUGUCUGCUGCUUCUUGCACGGUGGUAAUGGCCUCUGCACUUUCUUCUUCAACACUAAUACCGAAUUCCUCCUCAAGUCCCCAGGGUUUUGUUAAGAGAGAUGGAGAUGGAGGUUACAGUGAGGGAAGCCAUUGAGAAUAAGAGAAGAAGUGUUGAUCUUUAUAGAAACCAACGUUGAGUGUGAGUGAUGAGUUAUUUUCAAUGCUUUUAUCUCAAACCGAUCACAUUUUUUAAAACAUAAAGUCACAAAAAGUAAUACUCUGAUUGACUGCAUAAAGUAUGACAUAAGACAUAUGAUCUCUAUCCAUAUCUUAUAUUCAUUCCAUUCUCCUUUUCUCUUCCCCAAACCUAUCGCUGCAACUUAACUUCAAUAUGGUAGGGGAGGAAAUAACUCAUCAUAAAUAGUUUGGUUGAGUUCCACCACAUUUAUUUUUCUUCUAAAAGAAAUUAUUCAUUUAAUGUUCAAAAUGUAUUAUUAUUAUUAUUAUUAUUAUUAUAAAAAAAUAUCUGAAUAGAUGUUUGGUUUCGGAAAAGGGAAUCAAGUGUUUCUUGAUGCAACAUUUUACUGUCCAAUCAAGAUUAUUGAUAUCACCUAAUGUACAUAGUUUUGGCUCACAAGUCACAACAAUAUACCCUUAAUGGGAAGAGAAAGACUAAGCAGCUUCGGAUCCAUAAUCAUUUUCUCCCUGUCUAAGAACCUUAUUCUAAAAUGAAAGCUAUUUCUAAGCACUCUUGAGCCACUCUUUUAUUAGGGUAUGCACAUAUACACCUUGAAAAAAAUUGUAUAUAUAAUCCAAUCGAGUAUUGGUUCAAGUGAUACAUAUUUGAUUCCUCUUAAAUAAGGUUUCAGGUUUAGUAUUCAUUGAUUUAUACCUGCUAUUGAUUCCAACCAACCCUCCUCCUAUAUCAUAAAGGAUUUAAAUCUGCCACAGCCCACAUGACUAUAAUAUUCCAUAACAGGAUUUGUUGAACAACAUUACGAUAACAGAAUAUAUUGUUAUAAAGUAUUUGGUUAUCCAUAACUACUGGUAUAGUUGGCAAGUCAGCUUUAUUUUUUCGGUUUCCCACGGGUAUCCUCUCACUAUAGGCAAUCUUGUUCGAGCCGGGAAUAUCUACAGGUAUGUGAGGCUAACUCUCAUAGUGGACAUUUUUUCUAUCUACAAGACUCGAACUCGAGACUUUGCUUAAGGGGAAUCAAACAUAUACCACUUGAACCAAUGUCGAUUGCUACCAUUAUUAUUUGGUGUACCUAGCUAGUUAAUUGCUACCAUUUUAAAUAAGACUCAAAUUAUUUUUGGUUCCUUCCUCACACCACCACACUCUUCCAAAUUUGGAAAUGAUAAGUACCUUUUGCUUGUUCAUACAACUACUUUUGUUGGACCAAUAUGAUUAGGUACAACUUUUUUAAUUAAAAAACCAUUUGGUUGGAUGUUUUUGUCUCAGGUAAUAACAACAAAUAGUGAUUCCUAAUGUGAAGGGUAGGGUGAUUUUUUGUAUAAAUAAAGAAUAGAGUGAAAUUUCAGUGUUAUUCAUAUUGUAUCGGUCAUCAAACCGAGUACACUACUCGUAUAGUGGUAUAACGAUUUAACUGAUGGUUCACUAAUUAAACUUGCAUACCGAUAAAAUUAUAUAUACAUAUAUAAUAUAUUAACAUUAAUGUUUAAAAAUCAAUAAAUAAACAUUAAUUUUUUUAUUUUCAUUAAAAAAUAAUUUUAAAUAAAAGUAAGUCAGUAUGACAAGUACGAUUCAAUUGAAAAUAGACCAAUAUAUGACCAAUUUUGUUUAUAUAUACCAGCCAAUAUGAACCGACUUUUACAAGGGGUGAAAUUUAACAAGGUUUUUAAUGUAUAACCAAUGAUAUAAUUUAACUUAUUUAAGGAUAAUUUAUUUUAAGAAUUGAUGUAUGUAUAGUCUUAUGCGUAUAACUAAUUAUGUUUUCUUAAUAUAAAUCAAUUUUUUAGGUAAGUUAAAAAACAAUUUAAUAAAAAUAGAUUAUAGAUUUUUUGAGUCUCACUUAUUGUUACCUGGUCGUUUCAUUCCCCCACCAUUUUGAAUAAUAGACAUAAAAAGGAAAAAAGAUUGAAAUAAAAGGUUUCUACUUUUAAAAUGAUAGGCUUUUCAUAUCUCCUUUUCCUUUUAUUUUUAUCUAAAUGUUAUCAGAAAGGGGAAAAGGAGAAAAAAAGUGCUGCCAAUUUUCCUUCCUUUCUGUUUCCCGCGUUUUCCCCUUUGCAUUGAACAAUAGCUUUUUUUGGAAGAUAUAUAAAAAAGUUAUUCAAUUUGAGAUUAAAUAUUCUCUUAUAUCUUUUCUUGUAUCACCUUUUACUUUCACUAGGUUCAUUAUUGGACAUGAUAUAUAUAAACAAAAACCCUUUAAUUCUCCAUAGAUACAUUAUUUUCUCAUGAAUCACAUCCCAAUAAUAAUGUAUUAAUUUUCUAAUUUUUAAUAUGUAUAUAUAUAUAUAUAUAUAUAUAGAAUUAUGCAUCUCCUGCUGUGGAUAUAAGUUAUUUUUUUCAUUUUAGUCUCUCAUAUUUUUCGAUCUUACCAGUUUAGUUAUUCAAAAAAGAAAAGACCUAAAAUGGUCCCAAAUGUUUUAAAUAUAUGUCAAAUUAAUUCAUACCAAAUUUUAUAAAACAUGCUAAAAAUAACUAAUUUAACUCACAUUUAAAAUGUUUGAUACUAUUUUUUUUAAUGAAGUAAAUUGGAUCGAAAAAAAGGAGAAAAUAAAAUAUAUAUUUAAUGAUAAAUUUUCUAUUUCUUUCCCUUACAUUUGACUCCUUCUUUCUUUCUCUCCCAUUUCUAUUUUCCUUCUCUUUCACUCUUCCUUUUUCUUCUUGUUAUUGGUGUUGUUCACACACAAACACUGUUGAGAUCAUCAUGAAUACAGAGCUUCUUCAAAUCAAUCCUCCUCAACUCAGAUUUAUCUGUAACUUCAACUCUAACUCAUUCAUUAUUCACAAUUAACUUUACCGUUUAUUUUCAUUCUUCAUAAUUGUUUAUUCUUCUUGUUAUAAUCAUCAUAAUACUUCAUUCCUUCCAUGUAGUUGAAUUGAAGAAACAAAGUUCAUGCUUAAUUCAACUCCAAAACAAAGCUCAUCAUUACGUUGCUUUUAAGGUAUUCCCUUUUCUCUCUAUUAUUUAAUCACUCUGCAUAGUUUGUAUCAUAUUUCAAUGAAUCAAAUGUUAUCAUAUGUGACAAUAAUAUUGAUCUGUAACUUGUUAUAAAUAUAUUGACAGGUAAAAACAACUUCACCUAAGAAAUAUUGCGUCAGACCAAACAUAGGAAUCAUCAAGCCAAAGGAUACAUGUGAUUUCACUGGUAAUUUUCCCAUUAUCUCCUUACAUUUUAGUACCUUUGUUCUUUGUAUGGUUAUUCGGCCUUAUGAUUUAGAAGUCGUGAGUUCAAAUUAUGGAAACAGUCUUUCCAUUGGCGUGGGUAAAAUAUGUUUAUGUAUGCCCUCCGGAUACCUCACUCUGUGGGAGCCUCGUGAUUCGUUGAAUGCAUACUGUUGGCUUAUGUUUCUUUGUUGAAACAUGCAUGGAUGCAGUUAUUAUGCAAGCUCAGAAGAUAGCACCACCUGAUUUGAUCUGCAAAGACAAAUUUCUGAUUCAAUGCAUAGGUGUCCCCUUUGGAGCUACAGAAGAUGACAUCACUUCUGAUACGGUGAGCUUACGUUACAUAGCUAUUUUCUCCAUGUUUUCGGAUGUCAUAGAUAGAUGAGAAGGAUUAAGGUUUGCUUCGAUAGUCCAACUCUUAUUUUAAUUUUUUCUCCUGUUUUGAUUGAAUGACUAAAAUUCCUACAGUUUGCAAAAGAUAGCGGAAAGUAUAUCGAGGAAAAGAAACUAAAUGUAGUCCUCAUCACUCCACCAUCAUCUCCGGUUUUGCUUCCAGUAAAUGGAGAUGUGAAGCAGGAGUCAUCCAACGAAAUUCAUCUGCAAAAAGAUAGGGCGCCCAGUGGAGUUGAAAACAUACCUCCCCCUCUUAAAGUGAGUUCCUCCCUUUCCAAUCCUCAACUUCAAUCUCUAUUUCCUUUUCUAAUUGAGGUCCUUCAUUUAUUUUGUGCUUGUCAGUUAUUUGUUAGCCAUGUCCACCCAUAUGUGAAUCAUACAUGUUUAGUUCAACGUGGUGGUUGCAUAGCAUGUCCUGUGCCUUAGCUUAAUAGAUGAUAAUAUCUUUCUCUCUGCCAUUAUGUAUUUCAUUGUAUAGGUUUCCGAGGAAGUCAAAGGUCUCAAAACAGCCCAGGACACGGAGGAGGAUAGAACAGCUGAGGAUAUUGUCGCUAGACAUGCUGAGAAUGUGAGUGACAUGAAGCCUUCAAAUGAUGCCGUGCAAUUAACUUUAGCUAAGGAUUUGGAGGAAUUGAGAUCAAGGCUGGGUAUAAUGGAUUCAAAGCUAAGAGAGGUCAUAGUUCCUGAAUUUAUAUUAAACUUUGUCACAGUAAUUUUUACUUGAAGUUUUCUAGUCCAUCUGCUAGUUAUAGUUUAAUAUAAUUCUCAGAAUGUUUGCUGCCAAAAUAUCUGAACUUGAUUGCACUACAUUUUAAGGGAAUUUGAUAGAGAAAGUGCAUUACAUUUAUUUCAAGCUAUAUACUAUUUGAUUACUCAUGAGUCAUGACUUUACUGGUUUUAUUUAAAAAAGGCCAAGAUGAUAUCAUCAUACCAUACUGUUUUAGUUAUAAUCAGUAAAACAGAAAAGAUGAACUAUUGUCAACUCUGACAUCUUCAGUAGCAUUGAAGUUAACAUUUUUUGUUUGUGUCUUUUACAUUGCCUAGUGCAUAAAAGAUUGUAAUAUGCUAAUAUGUUCAUGCUUUACAAAUAUUUUAUCUCAGCUUAGGAUCCAAUACCUGGUGUCAGUUGCUUAGGUUGCAAUUUUGUCAUUUUUUUCUUUUUUACUUUGAAUUGGAAGCAAUCAAUGUAUGGUUAUAUUUUUGCAGGCCGAGGUAACUAUCAUGAAGCUGAAUGAGGAGAGGCGAACAAACACCCAAGAAAAGGAUUUGCUUAAGAAAGAGUUGGUAAGUUUUACUUUUCUGGUAUAUCCAUCGUCACUCAUAAAGUCACAAGUCCAAAAACUGUAUGCAUUCUGUUUUUCAUAUUCAGUAGUGCCUUUUGCAAGGUGGAUGGGAACAGUUGGUUGAGGUAAUACAAAUGAGAAUAGUUGAAAGUGGGUGGGGGGCAGAAAGCCAGUAGGUUUGUAGCCUUUUAUUAUGGUAUUUGGUUCAUAUUUUACCCGACUUACACAAUUUCGCUUGCCCAAGUUCGAAGGAAGAUAAACUAAAAGGUGAGCAGCUCUGGUCAAUGCAUCCACAAAAGGUGCUUAAGCUAUCAAAAGUUAAUUUUUUAGGAUUUAAACUUUAUAAAACGUCGCUGUAACCCUCUCCAACACCUUCCAUUUUUUGCAAACUGUAAAGCAAUCAACUUUCUAGGAACUAUUAUAUGUUAUCUUAUUAACAAGUUUUUUAUCCCUUUAAAUGCAAUGAAGAUUCAUAUUUUUCCAUGUCUGUACUUUAAUUGCCACAUGCUCUUUAUUCAGAUGAUGGUAGAAGUUAUCUGGUUGGCAUUACAAACCAAAAGGGGAGGUUUAUGAUGAAGAUAUCAUCUCUCUGUUUCUGGAAUGCAAUUAUGUUUUAAGCUAUUAUCCAUUUUUGAUAUGCUGCUUGACAAUUUUCAAUAUUUGAAAUAAUUCUUCUCCAUAUUUUGUCAGGAGGUGUUGAAGAGGAAAAUGGAUGCCAAAAGAGGUCAGUCUGGCUUCCCAUUACUGUUUGUUUGCAUGGUUGCUCUUGUCGGUGUGGUAGCCGGAUACUAUAUUCAUCCAUAGGGGAGAACAUAUAAUGUGCAUAAUAGAGGAUGUUCUCAAAUCAUGGAUUUCUCUGUAAUGAUUAGAUAGAGGAUGAUCACUGUUUAUUACCAUAGUUUUACAUGACAAAUGUUAAUGUGAUAUGGGGGUGGAAAUCUUUGUGAAAUGCUUUUAGAGUGAAAGUGCGCCUUCAAUAGAGGCAUAAUAAUAAGCAGUCUUUUGAUAUUUUCAGCAGAAGUUACUACUUACAAGCAUGUUUAUUGACUUUGGUAAGAAAUGUUUUCCCUUAAUAGAGGGAGAGAAGGAGAGUUGGUUGGGGAGAUCACUAGAAGGACAUUGGUCUAACAACUUAGGUCGGAUAAAGAUCACUUGUCCCAACUCCUGUCCGGAUUUAAUAAAAAAGUGACACUUAAUUAAAAUGAAAUUUUCUAAAAACAUAAAAUAACAUAUUUACCUUAUUUGGAGAAAGCUCAUUGGCUAGGGACAUAGGGACAUACUCAUUUUGGGACAGGUGAUCCCUAUUCAACCUAAGUUACACGGAUGAGGAUCACCUGUCCCAGCUUGGUGUCACCGUUUCUGUCCCGUUCCACUUAUACCUAGACAUGUGAAAUUAAUAUAUUAUUUUAAUAAAAUAAAAAUAAAAUAAGGUGUUAUUUUUGACUUGUUGGCAAACAUUGAUUGGUCUGGGACAUAUGACAAGAACUUUUAUGGGACAGAGGAUUCCGAUCCAGGUUAUACAUACAUUAGCUAUCACUUGGCAAAAUGCUUGUGAAUCCAGUGAUAAGUUUUACAAAAUUAAAAUUAAAAAACUCACAAAAUUCUCCUUUUAACAAGGAAUACAAUCAAACCUUAAAAACUGUAAACUGUCAAAGACUGAAGGCCUUUUCACAUAUUCAGAAUUGAUACUCAUGCCACACCCACAUCACUUCUAUUCCACCUUGGAAUAUAAGAUAUUUGAUAUCCACUUACUCAUUAAUUUUAAAUAUAUAAAGUAUUUAUCCUCGAGUGUCUGCUAACAAAACAAGCCAACAAUAUCAAUUUUAAAAUAUAAACAUGAUUCAAAUGAUAUUUAUUUUUAUUACUUCCUCCCUUUCAUUUUUUAUAUAUUUAAACUCACAUACAUAUUUUAAAAAUCAUUAAAUGAUAUAAGAAUUUAAUAUAAUUUAAUUAUUUCUUAAUAUGUAAUGAAAAAAUAAUAAUAAAUAAUGCUCUGAUUAUUGUUGGUAAUAAAUAAACUAUUUAUUCAUAAUGUCUACUUCUCAUAAAUAUAAGAAUUUAAAACCAUUAAUAUCAUUUUAUUGUCAAUAAAAAUCCUACUUAUGGUGGAUUUUGUCCCCAUAAGAUUUAUGAUUAAUUUGAAGGACAAUAUUUGAUCACAAAAUCAAAUCAUUCUUAUUUGAUUUUAACAUUAUCGCAUAUAAUUCAAAAUUUUGAAAUUUAAAUAAGAAUUAAUUAAAACAAAUUUGCAUUAUUAUUAUUUUUUGGGACUCUUAAAAAAUAUUAUUUUUAAAUAGAAAAUGGCUAAAAAUAAUAAUUUUAUUUUUAUGUGUUAUUUUUUGAAAAUGUCUUUCUGGCAGUAUAAAAUUGAGUGUUUACAGCAUCGCAUUCUAAUUUUCGGCUACACGAUCUUAUUAGAGUUACCACUACAUUUUUCAAUGUAAAAAAAUCUUUUGGCUCAAUCACAUUGGGCCUUGAACUUUGAUAUCCAAGUUUGGGAAUCGAAUAUAGACUAGAGAAUAUAUUAGCACCCUAGCUACCCAUUUGAACGAUACUUUUGCUAUACUGCAUGAAUUAUUAAUUGUAUCAUUAUCAUAUUUUUACCAAAAAAUAAAAUAAAAUAUUUUAUUAUUGUGUCUGACUGAUCUUGCUCCUACGUUGAAAAUAAACAAUGACAAAUAAUUAAAAAAAAAAAAAAACCUUCUACUUCGUUUAAUAAUGCUAUUAUAUCAUCCUAAUUAUUACCUAAUCAGUUAAUAGGUUAAUCAUAUCUCACAAACUCUACAUAACAAGUAGGUAAUAAAAACUAUAUAUUUUAUGUGGGUCCACGAAAAUAGGCAUAAGAUGACGUGUAUUCAUUACCACACGCCACGUAAAUAAGACUUUUUACUUGAAACACAACCUCUUCUUCUUCUCAUCUAUGAUUCUAUUCAUAAAUUGAUUCCUUGUGAAAUAAGUGUGUUGAGUGAUAUAAAAAAAAAUGACAUAUUAUUGUAUGAUGAAUUCUCUUCCUGAAGAUGUUGCUAUCAAAAUUGUUUCGUUGCUUCAUGUUCGUGAUUUGUGUUCCUUCAGUUGUUGUUCCACUUUCUCAAGACAACUCUCUUUCUCUGAUUCCAUUUGGGAAUCUCUCUUCACAAAUCGAUGGCCUUUAUUCUCUUCUUCCACUUCAAAUGAUUUUCCUAAUUACAAGGUAUGAUCAAAGUUUGUUACUUUUUUAUUUUUCGUUUCAAUUCAGAACGUGGGUACUGAUCAAAACCCUAAAUUUAUUCCUAUUUUCUUUAUUGUUAAAUUAUUGUUGUUGUUGUGGUUAUGAUAUUCUUGCAAUUGAUUUGGCUUUCAAUUGGUUCUGUCUAUUGAUAUCAAUGGCACAGAGAGUAAUUUGAUCCAUAUCUAGUUUGCACCUAAGUUAUUUGAUGAAAUGCUUAAGUGGUUGAACUUUUCAAUGAUUUCGCCUUGUUGUUGAGGGCAAUUCUAUAUGCACUGAAAAAUAGUGUGGAUAGUCAGAUGGAUGGACCAAUCAUCUGGUGUGAGCAAUGGUUUUUCGGGUGUUGAUAUAAUUGCUCUGUUGUUGAAGACUGAACAUUUAUUUGAGUCAUGCACUUCGACCAAUUCGGGUUACAUAAAUGAGUUUUCGCCAAAUUAAAAACCUUGGUGACAAGAGGAUAUUUUGCUUGGUCUCUAUUGACAUGUUAGAUAGAUAUUGGGCAGAUUUUUAGUAGUGUUACUGCUAUGUAAUGUUAAUUGUUUGGAAAUUGGUUACAGAAUUGGAGGAAAUUGUACUUGAAGAGGCACAUCGAAUUGGGAGUUAGAGCAAGAUCUGUUGAGAAGUUCGUGGAAGCCUCUUCACGUUCUGAAUCACUUGAGGUCAGGGACUACCUGAGUGCUGUUGAAUCCUUGAUUGGUGCAAAGUUUGGUUUUGAAGAUGUCCAGAAGUUCCUUUUCAAUCCUAAAAUGAAUGUGCUGCUUAACUUGGUUGGCGUGCACUAUUGCCUCACAUGCCUUGGAACUCAGGUAUUCCCAUGUUUUUUUGCUUCCUUAUUGUGAUAUGUUAGUUACAUUUCUAGCUAGAUGGAGCUUCUGUUUGAAAUCGCCCAUAUUUUGGGUCCUCCCAAAAAGUAUUUGUUUGCGGUAGUAUAAUUUAGUGUUGCUUAAGGAUAAUUGGAAUAAUCAUAGUGCGUAAAUUCUACCAAGAUGUUUAUGCAUGCUAGAAUUAACUUUAAUAUUUUGUGAAAAUGCAGUUAGAAAUUGUGAUUGCCAUUUGGAAUAGGAUUUGGCACUUUCAAACCUUGAAUCCAAACAGCUGCUAAAUUGUGUUUAACCAAUUUCAUUCGAUUUUAUCUCAGUCUAAGCUAAACAUGUGUGCAAAACACUCUAUGUGUUCAUUUGACUACAUUUAAUCAUGGAAGUCACAUAUUUCCUUCCAUGUUUCAACUUUUUCAUAGCUAUUUGUAAUCUUUUCUCUAUCAAAUAAAAUGACAUUUGGGUAGUUUUAUGUAGCUUAAUACUAUUGUGCUAAGCUUAAGAACAAUGGUUAGAGUAAAUCUAUGUUUAAAAUUUCUUAUCUUUUUUAUUGAAAACAAUAUGACGUGCCAUCCUGCAGCACCUAAUAAUUUCUGUCAUUUUCUCUUGGGCGAUCUGAAAGAGAAGCUCUAUUUAGUUAAAAAUGCAAUUAAAAUGUCGAGCUAUAUGAUUUAUGAUAAAACAUUACGAUGACAUUCUAUCCAUGUAACUGACUUCACCUAAUUGGACUAAGGCAUGGUUGUUAUUGUAUGUUUUCUUUUCCUUUGAAUCUCAUUCAUAUCCUUUAUUUUUUUAUUUUUCCUUGGACAAAUAAAGCAAGCAAGGUUGAACCAUGAUCUGUAAUGUUUACUUUGACAAUAGUUGAAAUUAAACUGAAGCAUGUGUGUAUUGGCAGGGUGAUAAUCUGAUAGAAGUCCUUCGUGCUUGUCAGAUAUCAGAUCGGCAUGUAUGUGUGAAGUGGUGGAAAGUUGGGAGAUGGUUCUAUGGAUACCGAAUGAGGGACGAGUCACAUUCUCGUUUUGUUUCUUUGGCAGAUUUGGCAACAGAAGAUGAUGAGAAUAUUUUGGGGGUGCUUCGGAGAGGUACAGUUCAUGAGGUUUUACGUGUUCAGAUCUCUGCUGUUGGUCACACAUCUACACCUUGGUACUGCCAGAGACAGAGUGAGUGAGUGAGUGCUGAAGGAGAUCAAUAAUAAGUAUGUGUUGUAUUAGUAUAUGUGUGUAUAUAGUGCAUAUUUCUAAAACUGUUGUAAUGAUACAUGUAUAGUAUGGCAUAAAAAAAGGAGAAUAAUACAAGUCAAACUCUUUGUAAACUAAUUACAUUUGAACUAUGCUUACAUUCUUGCAAAUGCAACUAUGCAAAACAUGAAUUUGUGAAAGGCAGGUAAUGUGUGCCACUAUUGUUUCUGUUUUUUGCUUUUUAGCUUUCUUCAGGAUUUGGUUAGCAGAUUCCCAUGCAUUAAGCAAGCAUAUACCACUUUGUUUAUCACUGUUAAUCAUAUUCAUAUUAACUUCUUUUUUUUGGGAGCAUAAUAGUUACAAAGCAUCUAUGACACCAAUAGAAUGUAUAACACAAGGUGGUGCUUGAGGGAUAAGUACAACAGUCAUUUACAAAAAGUCCACACCUUUGAAACAACAUUGACAAAUAACAACACAAAAGUCAUUCACACAUAUAAUAAUACUGUAAACAAUGUGACUAUGAAGUAUGAACUAUGUGAGCACUGCAGAAUGAUCCUCCAUGUUCUAUCCAUCUUCUACUUGGGGAUUCUACUGUGAAUGCUAUAAGCUGAAAGCCAAAUGAGCAAGACAGUGAUAAUGCUGCCAAACAAAGCCACUGCUAUGGAGCCACCACUAUGUCUACAGAAUUUGUCAUAGACAUUGCAAAUUUUAAGCCAACCCACAUGAUUGUUUCCUUUUAAACCCACAUAUGCCACACCUCCAGCUGUGCCUGUUGCUGAAGCUAUUAUCCCUAAUAUUAUCUGCAUAUAAAGCCAUGGUCACUUCUUACUUUGUUAUGAUGGAUAAAAUGAAUUGUUGAAAAUAAAGGUUAAUUGAUCAAUUACCACAUCAAAGAAGAUAAAGUGGAGGAGCAGCUUAGUUUUGAGGUGUGGCUUAUUGACUACAGAGAGUGAUGCAAGAGUGGUAAUGAUGCUAUAAAGGCCAGAAACAGAUAAUGCAGCCACAAAAUAUCUGCAUGUAUAAUAUCAUUAGUGAGAAAAUUUUCUUUGAAGAGAAAAAAGAAAAAAGUAAGGCAUAAUUGAUGAAUAAACUUACAUGAUAGUUACAAUAAUGGAAGACUUUGGAUCUUUAAAUAAAAAGAUAAGACAAAAUAAAUAUUCAAAGCCUACUAAAUACAAAGGUGGGUUGAAAACUUCAUGCAAGUUCUUCAGUAAAAACCAUCAACUUUUCCCUCUUGGAAGCUCCUUAUAUAUUAAUACUAUAAAGCUAAAUCCUACAUAUAUGAAAUAAUUCAUAAAACCCAUCUAAUUGCUGAAACAUUGAGAAUCAACUGUUUCUUUUUUCUUCACAUAAAAAAAGUUGGCAACCUUUAUUUGUCUUGCAAUUUCACUAGCUGGAAGAAGAAUCACAAAAUAUGUAGACCAUUGCCUGGAACAGUUAUAUAAUUCUAUACUCCUACAUCACUAAUUACAUCUUCAAAAUCAAAAUAAGUUCAAGAUUUUUCUUUCAAGUAAAAGUUAGUAAGCCUAAUAUUCAAGUCAUUUUUUCAUAUUUGAAAUCAUAUAUCUCAGAUAACUAGUAUAUACAUGCAUAUAGCUAUGAACAUUUAGUAAAUCAGCUAAGAAUUUGAACAAAUAACUUUGAACUUACACAAAAGCUGGUGAAUAUCUGAACUUGGCUGGCUGUGGAACAGGUAUACCUUGGUAAAGCACUAGUUCUGUUUGAUUACCAGUAACCAUUACCACUACUGCUACUAAUGAUGCUGCAAACAACAGAAACCUGAGUAUCACAUCAAAUUUAAAGUAAUCAACACCUUCAGAAGCUGAAGGAGUUGAAGAUGAUUUGUAUUCAGGGUCACUAGGCUUAUCUAUAGAAGCCAUGUAUUGCUGCUAUGCUAUGCAAGGUUACAAUGGCAGGUACUAGUAUAUGACUUAGUGGUAGAGGAUAAGGAUUGUUGAACAAUGAUUUUUGUGCAAAUAUAUAUAGAUUUUGGAUGCCCAAUGAACUAGAAAGGUGUAAAAACAAAUAGAUUUGAACAUUUGAUUUUUUGCUGGUGUGUAUGUGAGAAGCCACAAGCUAAAAGUCUACAUUUUAUGUUAGAAUAUUUCAUAUGUUCAUACUAAGGUUUACACGACAUGUAUAAGAAUAUUAUUGGAUAUGCUUAAUUUCAAAGUUCAAAUAAAAUAUAUUAUGGAUUACUAGCUUAACAUAUAACUAGGUUGUUGUAAUCUUGGAUUCUGAUUAUAACUGUUCUGGUUCUUAAAGUUGUUUCUUGUAGAACAAGACUCUUCUGGUUGAAGAAAGAUUAUUAUUCAUUACAUUAUUGAGACUAACUUAAUCCAGAAAGUUAGAAACUUAAUAAAUAAUGUGAGUAUAUGAGAGAAACCUAAUAAAUCCUCCACCUAAGUUGAGAUUGAAAUAAAAAUUAUUUUCAAACUAAACCAAGUUUUAUGGAAUCAAGUCAUCAUUUCAACGAUUUACAAAUGCAGCAACAGAAAAGUUACGUGUUGCAAAAUUCAAUUGAUAUCUAGUAAUCAUAUACAUCCAAUGAAUUGCGUGUGGCAGAUCCACAUUCUAGAAGGGUUAUCUUCUACCCCUUCUAGUGAAGUGACUCCACUUCACCUAUAAAGUUGAAGGUUCUUGUUUGUUGUUUUGGGCUAUUCAAAAUUUAGUCGAAUUUGAUUAAACAUGAUAACCCAAAAUAUCUGAUGAUUAGAUCAUUAGUCCAAAGUAUAUUAAAAAAUAAUGAUUACAUGAAAAGUUGGUAAGAUGUUUAUGCAUUAUGCAAAAACAUGAUAUUCAUAAAUACGUUAUUUACAUAUUUCCACCCAUUUGUUAAUUAUAAUAUAUAUAUAUAUAUAUAUAUAUAUAUGACAUUAUGAUAUGAUCAAUAUGAUAUGAUUGAGUCUAAUAUGAGAUUUAAUUGGUUAAAGCGUGUAGGAACCUCUUCAAGUAUAUGAUGUCUGAUUUGAGUAUGGUUAUAUUGUUUUAGAGGGUUAAAACAUGACAAUUGCGGAAAAAUUUGCAUUUUUUUAAUUUAUAGAAUUUUUUUAAAUAUAUUAAUAUUAUUAUAAAUAAAGUUUAUUAAAUAUAAAUUAAAAUUUUAUAUAAUAUAAAUAUAAAAUUUAUUACUAAUCAUAAUAAUAUAUUUAAUUUUCAAGAGAUACUAAGAAUACUAUGGAAGUUGGAAAUACCAAGUUAUUAAUUAAAAUAGAGCAAAAACUAAUCUAAGUUAUUUUUGUAGUCCAUUAUCAACUAUAAAUAACAACUUGAGUGAUGAAGUCAUUUUCAAGUACUCAUCUAAGGUAUCAAAGUUAAUUUUUAGUAUGCUCGAUUUAACCCAACUCAAAUAUUCCAAGUCACCCCAUAGCUUUUCCUAACAUCUUUUAUAUUUUUAUUAAUCAAUAAUAGAAAAAAAUCAUAAAUAAUUUUGUGAAGGGUUGUGAAUAAAAAAAUUAAAUCAAGGUUUAUCAAGUGAGUAAAAAUUUAAGCAAUAUAUGAAAGAAUUAUGUGAGUUCAAAUAAUCUCUUUAUUAUUGUAGAAGCUGAAAAGGAUAUAAGAUUAUACAAUUCCAUUUUUUGCACUUAAUUUAUAUAUAUUCAUUAUACUCAAUAUCAUAACACACAGGAGAGUUGGGUGUAAUUAAUGACCUCCCAUUUUUGAAAAUAAUAAUUGGUAUAAUUAAACUAAUUGUUAUAAGUGUAAUUUCCUCUAUUUUGGAAUGUAAUUAAUAUGAAUGAAGAUUAUCGAUUUCCAAUGAUGUUUCAUUCUCUGCUCAAGCCAAACAUGUAUUAACAUGUAGAUAAAAUAAAAAAUUUAAAAAUAAAAAGUAAUAAAAUAGAGUAUUCUGGUUAGCUUCAGACAUGAAAUGAGACACCAUUUAUGACACGUGAUCUCCGUCACUUUAAUACGGGGUCAAUUUAUGUCAUACAUAUGUGACAUGUAUAUUAGUCCACGUCAGUUGAAGCUUGAAAGGCUUGAAUAAGACUAUUGACAAAGUCUCAUAUUUAUAUCUAUAAAUAAUCAUUUAGUGGAUAAGGAUUAUGAUCACUUUGAUUUAUUUCAACCAUCCAGAUAGACAAGAAGCUUGACCAGGAACCUUUUCAAUUUGCUCAAUAAUAUAAGGGAUUGAAUUAUGUAUACAUUCAUAAUGUAAGUGUUUUUUAUAUUAUUAACAAAUUUUCAUUAUUCAUAUAUUAACUAUCAUUCAUUUUCAAACAAAAAUAUUACAAAUCAAUGAUGAAUAAUUACUAAUAGUGUAAAUUCUUUUACAUUCAAUACAUAAAUUUUAAACUCUAAUGUAAUCCCGAUUAAAUGGCACUAAAAGAGAGAAAGGUUAUUUAAUAUGCAACUAGAUUCACAAUCGCUUUCUUCACUUUCUUCACCUCCAAGUAAUCAAAUGUUAUAGGAGCAGUAGAUAUAAGAUUAAUUCAUGUUACUAUCUUUCGGACUUUUAUAUAUACUUGUAUUUCAUAUCUUUAUAUAUAUAUAUAUAUAUAAAAACUUGAUAUACUUUAUUAAAAUAUGUUCUUGUUCAUACUGAAGUACUACUCAUCUGGUUUUAAUCAUAAAGAUAAAACAUAUCAUAUUUUGGGUCUUAAAUAUAAGCAAAAUUAACUAUUUUUACAUAUUUCUAAUAUCACUUUUAAUUGAGACCAUUACUCAUAUACCACAUGCUCAAUAAUAAUUGGAAUCAUUUGUACCUUUUUAUCAAAUAAAAAUUCAAAAUACUAAUAGUAUAAACUAAUAAAAGAGUACUGAGUUUGUAGCUAAAUUAUUGGAGUUAGACACAUGUGGGUAUUUACGUGAACAAAUUGGUGGAAAGUGGGGUCAAAUUAUUAAGGCAUGAAGGACCCAACUCAAUGAUGAGCCUAAUAAGUAAUAAGGGAUAUGAGGUAUACUUAAGGUAAUGUAAAUCUAUCUUGACUUUAAAAUCUAUGUAUAAAGUUUUUUACACUGUUGGUACAUUAUAUAUCUAUUUAUUGAAUAUUUUUUUGUUUAGAAUCAAUAAUUAUUAACAUAUAAUUAAUGGAUGGUUUUUUAUAGUAUAAAAAACACUUACACUGUUAAUAUUUAAUCGAUUUGUCUUUGUGUAAGGAAUGAAAUGGAAUGGUAGUUGGCAAGCAACAAUGUACAGUUGCAUGUGAGGGCCAUAAAUGCUUGGUGAUGAUAAGUGUGUAGAACCAAAAAGCUUAAUUAUUCAAUAUUUGCAUUUAUUGAAUAUAAGAACCAGAUCUAAGACAGUUAUGUUAUUAUAAGCCACCAAUAUUGUGUAGCUCAACCAAUGCAUAUUCUGCCAUGCAAUCCAUUUUGACUUCAAACUUGCAAGUUCACACUUAUAACAGACAAAACAAUGUUUCAUUCUGAAGUGUGUUUAAAGUCUUGUUUCUUAGUAACUAGAAAAUAAAAAAAAAUAGCAUUAGGAGGUUUCUGUUUAAACAUAUCAUCAUAAUCUAUGAGAGACCAAAAAACACAUAUAAACAUCCAAUUUUUUAAAAAUGUUAAAAUAUUUCAUUAGACACAUAUUUGGAAAAAAGAUAGAGAACAUCUUUGUAAAAGGAUACGAAUGAAUGUAAUAAAAUUACAAUUUUUUUUUUGAUAAAUAAAAUUGCAUUAAAGGAGCACAAGGGGUGCCCACCCAAUAAAAGAAAGAAACCAAUUACAACUUGGUUACAUUUAGCGAUAAGCAAAGUUUAGGAUCCAAACACCAAUUAGCGAACGACAAUGAAUUAUGAGAAACAAAAGAGAUAAACCAAAUCCACGAUCUAGUUUGAAUUAAAUCCAAUAAGUGCACAUAGCUAGGAGUCUUCUCCUGAAAGAUGACAUCAUUUCUCAUAAUCCACACCGACCAAACGACCGCAAACCAGAGCAUACGCCAUAGCUUUAUACAAGUACCGCUUUUAAGAGUAUCAUGAAGCUUGAAAGAAUCCAUAAUUGUUGAAGGUAUUGUGACAGGAACUUGAAGCCAAGAAUAAAAACAUUUCCAAACACUUGCAACAAAGUCACAAGAUAUAAACAAGUGGUCGAUAGUUUCAAUAUGAUUGUUGCAAAAAGAACAAACUAUAUCUUCCGCCCUCACAAUAAUAUUCCUCUUAAGAAGUUCAGCCUUUGUUGGGAGCCGACCUCUUAAGAGUUUCCAGACAAAACAACAAACAUUUGAAGGUAAACAAUUAAUCCAACAGUUUUUUAGCAAAAUGCCUAAAGAAGAUUGGUUAUCAUUCAUCUGAGCCAAAUAAGCUGUUUUCACCACAUACUCACCCGAUCUAUCAAAUUGUUUAUUUUUUCUUCUUUUUCUUAUUUUACAUUAAAAUUGCACUAUUUUUUAGAGAAAACUUGUAUUGUUUUCUGGGCAUGUUCUAAACUCAUUUUUGGAACAGAGUAAAACAAAUAAGAAACUUAUCAUUUAAAGAACUUAUAAUUGUUUAACUUUCACCUUUCCCACCAGAACUCGAUUUUAGAUAGGUUAAAUCGUUAAAAUAAGUAAUAUUUAUCCCUUAUUCAUUCCUAAAUAUUGAUGAGACCCAAUUUUAAUAAUUUUAGAUUCAACAUAUACAUUUUACGUAGAUAAGCGUGUCAAAUCUAGCUUAAUCUUCAUGCCUAUUAAGUUAUGCACAACCCUUGUAAUUAGUCAUAUGUCAUUGACCUUUAAGAUUGUUUGGAUAAUUUUGGAAGAGAAGAUUGAAGUUUUUCUUUUCUUUUUGGGGAAAGAAUGAAUAAGAGUGAAGGAGACAUUAAUUAAUAUUGUAAGAAAACUCUCAUUUUACAUUAGGGGUUGCUUAUUUAAUUUUCUUUGUAGAGCUCCAAUUUUAUGAAACAUGAGACAACAUGCACAGACAACAACACAAACAUAAUCAGUGAACAUGUCAAGUAACCAUGUGAUGAAAAUGAGACCAUAAGGACCAUAUCCUGCCACAUAUAUCCAAGUUUAUUUCAAGCAACGUGUAGGUUUUGUUGUUGUUGUUGGGUAGAAAGCUACGUGUAGGUUUUGAAAAGAAAGUUCAAAAAAUAAUUUAUCAAUAUGCAUGAAAUUGUCCUAAGAUUUGGUACGAUAGAUAAAGUUGUAAGUAUUAAAUAAUUAAGGGUAAUGAUAAAAGAAAUCAAUAUAUAUUAUAUAAUCAAUCUUUUUAAAGGAGAAAUAUUUUGUGUAAUUUUCUAAUAUUCCAAUUUUAGCACUACCAUUUCUUAUUUACAUCUGAACACUUCCUCAUACGUACAAUGUUAUAUAUCUAAUAAUAUAUACUUAUAUUGAUGAAUUGUGUACAUUUUUAAUUUCAAGUUGUAUAGUUUUUAUUUAUGAAAAUAUUAAUUUAUAAUAUGUUGGGAAAAUUGCUGGUUGAUAAAUAAAAUUUAAGCUUGCUUAAUAACUCAACCACUUGAUUUUGAUAGUUAACUAAUUGGACAGGUUAAUUUCUUAAGCAUUCAUAUCAGUCAUUAAUUUGUUUAUACCUACCCUUUCAUGCUGUCCCACUCUUUGCCUUAAAUGCAUUCCUACAUUAUUAAGUAUCGAAUAUGAUAUUUUUUAUAAUAUAGAAAAGUUUGUAACAUUAUGUUCGAUAUUUUAUUUGAGAAUUUUGUUAUCCUCCUAAUCUAAGGUAUAGGUUAAUCUAACUUAUCUAAUUGUCUUGAGUUGGAAUUCUAAGUAUGCAAUUGAUAUAUAUAUAUAUAUUAAUCAUUAUAUUAUUAAUAUAUAAAUGUAAAAUUGCCCUCGAUAAUUAAUAUAAUAUCAUGUAACAUAUAUAAUAUCACACCUUUCUUUCUAUAUCUCUUUUCUUAUAUUAUAAUAUCAUGUAACAUAUAUUAUUUUCUCUCUUUUUCUUUCACCCGGUAUAUAUAUUUUCUCUCCUUUUCCUUCACCAUGCAUAUAUAAUUUUUCAUGUGCCUAAUAUUACUCUCCUCAGUAAUUAAUGCCAAAAUUCCCUUUCCCAUUUCAUUCUAACUAAAUUCAAACCCAAACUCUAAGGUUUCACCAUUAUUUAAGCCAUGUUCUGGUACCCCAUUUAUGAACACCCUAUUUCUCAAGAGGUGCAACAUUUGUGGUAUUGUUACAACAAUGGAGGAGGGUCAGAGUAAGGGUAGCAUUAUUAAUGGGAUUGAAGGAGUUGAGAGCAAAGGAAGUAGAGAUAUAAUGGUGGCAAAACCUGGUUCUUCAACUGGUGCAUGUGAUUUGGUUUUAAGGGUAUUGGCUUUGGUUCUUACUCUUGUGGCUACAAUAGUUCUUGGUGUGGAUAAGCAAACAAAGAUUGUUUCAGUUCAGAUUGUGGAUACUUUGCCACCUUUCCAUGUUCCUGCUACUGCUGAAUGGCAUUACCUCUCUGCCUUUGUGUAAGUCUUCUCCUUUUCUUACCCUCAGACUUAAGGGUUCCUUUACCAAUUAGGUUUCGAAGGAGAAUCACAAUGUUUCAAAGUAAUGAAAUACAAAUUUGAGAUAACUUUAAAGUCUCUAAUUUUUAUUAUUUCCUCUCCAACACCUAACUCGGAAGAAAAACAUAUGUUUAGAUUUAGUUUCGGAUGAAUCUUAUACCCAUAAACAUAUCCUUUAUCUACAUAAAACAUAAAUUCUAAGGUAUAAAAUGGAAGUUUUUUGAAAUAAGAGUUAAUUAGUUUUAGUUAUAAUUUUUUCACACCCAUUAGCAUGUAAUCGUGGCUAUAAAUAUUUGUGACGGAGACAAAUUGAAACAGCCCACAUUUAUGCAUUGGAAUAUAUAAGGUGUUUUAGCGGAGAGGUAUUUGAAAAUUAUAAAUUAUAAUAUUAUUAAUAAGCUAACUAAUUAAAUUAGCGGUGUUCAAUGUAAUUACCUUAUCAAGUAGACUCUAGGAAUAAAAUGAUGUAAAUGACUUUUUUUUAUAAAUAUUUUUUUUACUAAUAGAAGUACCAGGAAUACCAUGUAAAAUAGCUUAUGAGUCCCUCCAACAAAUUUAUUGGACCAACACAUAAUAAAUCAAUGAUUCUUUUUUUAUAAAAAACUUUCAUAAUCAAACAUAGUUAUUGAUAUAUGGAAAGUAGUAUGAACAAUUAGGCUCAUUUUUCCGUCAUACCCAUGCCCAUAUAACCCUAAUCUAAAUUAGGGUGAGAAGGACAUAUUCAUUUUUAAAUAAAAUAUGAAAUAUCCUGUGAUGUUCAUUCUAGAUAAACUUAAUUGUCUAAAUAAACUAAUAUAUAUAUAAAUUUAUACACAUGUCAUACAAAAUAAACAUUACAUAAUUUGCCUACAAAUAUAUACAAAUGUAUUUGUAUUUAUCAUAAAUAUAAUUAAAACAAUAUAUAUAAAAUAUAAAUGCAUGAUACAUAAUUUAAAUACAAAUUAAAAUACAAAAUGUGUAGUAGACAUGCAUGUAUAAAACACAAAUGCAUAAGUAUAAUAAGAAUGUAACAGUAUUAUCUUAUAAUUGAUAUAUAAAUAUAUAUAACAAUAAAAUAUAUUUUCUUACAUUGGAUAAAAUAAAUAUACAUUUGAAUAUUUAAUGUUCAAUAGCUUUUUACUUGUUUUUUAUCUUAUAUUAUUGAACUUGGUUUAUAGUGUUGCUAAUAAAUACCUUAAAGGUACUUUUAUGGAAUAUAAUUACAAAUAAGUAUUGGAAAAUUAAGUUUUUGGAAAAUUAAGUUUAACAUUAAUCUUAAUAUAUUGAACUCAUUAUUUCCCCACUUCCUUAAAUAACAUCUUAAAGGUAAUUAUUAAUAUUCUCAUAUCAUUCUACUGGUUUUGUGGUCAUUAAUAUCAUAUUGAAGCUUUGUAUAUGAUUUAGUAAAUAAAAGUCUUUUGAUAAAAACUACGGUAGGGUAAAAAUUUAUACACAAUCAAUAUAUUAUCUAUUAUUUAUUUGUAUUACGUUUUUUAGAAAGUGAUUAAUAAAAAUAAAUGAUAAUUGAUAAACUAACAUUUUAUAAAACUCUUACCCUUUAUAUAUAUAUUUUUUUUUUUCCUCUAAAAACUAUACAUCCUUGAACUUCAAUUUUCCUUUCAAGUCAUUAAUUAUUUGGGUUGCUGGCAUUCACACCCACCGUCGCCGAUAUGAUUGACUUUUUCUCAUACCCAAACCAGAUGUCAGCAUAUACUUACAAUGUAUAUGCAUGCAAAUUAUUAAUUUAAUGUUAAAUUAUAAAUAUGACUACUUUAUUUUACUUCAUAGAAAAGUCACCAAUUUCUAUCCUGAACAAUCCAAAAUUAACAUGUUUAUUUAUUUAAAAUUUCUAUAAACUAACAUAUAAUAUCUUAACCAAUUAAUUUCAUGUUGUAGCUACUUUGUGGUGGCAAAUGCAAUAGCAUGUGCAUAUGCAACUAUCUCUCUACUCCUAAGUAAAGUAAAAGGGUUAGGAACAUUGAUCAGCAUUUUUGAUGCAUUGAUGGUGGCUUUGCUUUUUUCUUGUAAUGGAGCAACCACUGCAAUUGGUGUAAUUGGGUAUCAAGGAAACUCUCAUUUGCGAUGGAACAAAGUUUGCAAUGUCUUUGGCAAAUUUUGUAACCAGGUUGCAGUAUCUAUUAUUCUCUCAUUGCUUGGAUCAAUAGUAUUCCUAUUGUUGGUGGUGUUGAAGCUUCGGAGGAGAAGUUAGAUAAUAAAUUAAACUUCGCACUUUUAUCAUCCACAACUUUGUUUUUUAUACAUGUGAAAGCUUUGCUAUGUAUUUGAAACUUAUUGAGAAAUGUACCCAAAAAAAGAGUGUCAAUUGUGCACACAAAAAAAUAAACUUAUUGAUGGAAUUGUUUUUCUACACCAAAUUAAACUAUCAACUAUGCCACAGUUUGAAUGCACAGAUAGCAGCACCCUAAUGCAGAUAUAAAGUAAAAAAUAAAGUAUAAUUCGUAUCAUUUUUAUUUAUGGUAUAAUCUUACUUUUAUCUUUACAAUUAAAGAAAUUUUUUUAUCUUGAGAAGAUAUUGUUCCAAAUACUAUAUAUAACCAUCAUUGCAUUGUCGAGCAUAUGGUACUAAUGCACAGUAAUAUAUUAUUCUUGUCCCAACUGAUUAACAUUUUCCUUGUAACCAAUGUUUUCUCUUUUCUUUUCUAUUUUAUUUUAAUGUUAAUAUAUGAAUAUUGUAUAGCUUACACAAUUAAAUCAACUAUUUAUUAAUUACUUUUAAUUGUUUUAAUAAAAAAUAUAUUAUAUAUCAAUAGAUUGGUAAUAGGUAAAUUACAAAUUAGAAGGGAAAUAAAAAAUAUACUAAUUAGUAUUGAAUAGAAGAUGAUGGUAUAGUUGCAUAAACUAGUUGGUUUGUCACAGUAUAUAUGCAUGAGAUGACAUGUACUUCAUAUUCAACUCUGGUAUAAUUGCAUAAGUUAGUAGAUUUUUGUUAGGUAUAUUAAAAGGAUGAUUAUUCUUAUAAAUUAAAGGAUGAAACAAUAUAUGAAGCUACAAAUAGAGCAUAGCGGAAAAAAUGGUUGAUUAUAUGACACCAAAAUUACACCCAUGCAUGCCAUAGCUCCAUCGCUAAACCAUAACAAUUUAACAACAAAAACUAACAGAAAGGGUUUCCAACCUUCAUUUAUAUCAACUUGAAUCCCUUUCUUUCUAUUAUCUUCCAUUGUGUUUCCCACAAUCAAUUUACACACACAUAAAUCAAAGAAACAAAAAAAUGGGUUGUGGGAAAUCUAAACAUGAUGUUGCUUCUGACAAUACCCUCCAGCGCAAGAAAUCCCCCCAGGCAGAAAGGGAAAAUGGGACAGAAACAAAAGACAAAAAGGUUGAGAAUGUUGUGAGUUCAGAAGUGGAACAGAAGAACAAUGAAAUUGUGAAAGAGUUUGGUGUUGGAGGUAAGGUUGAUGAGUCCAAUGAUGUCAAAGACAAAUCUUUUGAAGUGAAAGAAGAUAAGACAAAGGAAGAUGUUGUUGAUGCUCCUGGUGCUGUAGGAGAAGAAAAGAAAGCAGAAAACAAAAAAGGUGUGCAAAUAAUUACCCUUUAGAGAUGUUUGGUUUAUGAAUAUUUUUUCUGUGUUAGUUAAUAAUUGCAAAAAUGUUAAUAUUUUCUGUUUACAAAGAUAAUAAAUGUUGUUUUUGACUCCUAUACAAAUCUUUGGAAAUAAGGUGACAUUUUUAUUAUCACAUUGAAAAUGGAAAUAGAAAGGGUAAAACCAUGCAUCUCUCAUAAACCAAGCAAACAUUUGGGUUCUUGUGACUCAAGUUCACGUUCACUUAAUCAUUUCCUCAAAAAAUGAUUAAGCAUAAGUUGUUGGCUAUAAGUUAUAAUUUUCUCGUGUAUGUGUACAGAAGAAGUAGAAACCACAGACACAGUUCAGGGAAAGACUUCGACUAAGGAAGAAGAGACCAAAGACACAAAUAAGGAAGAGACAUUGGCUAAGGAAAAAGAAGAAAUCAAAGACACAAAUAAUAAGGAAGAGACAUUGGCUAAGGAAAAAGAAGAAACCAAAGACACAAAUAAGGAAGAGACAUUGGCUAAUAAAGAAGAAGAAACCAAAGACACAAAUGAGAAAGAGAGUUUGGUCAAGGAAGAAAAAACCAAAGAAACAAUUGUUCCAACCUAUGAAGGUGACAAAAAAAAUUGAAGGUGAUAAAUAUAUUUGCUGUCUUUAUAUUGAUCCUACAUUGUAUUUUCCUUUUCCCAAUUCUAUUUUUAUUUCCUUCAUCCUCAUACAAAUCACUAUAUAACACAUAUAUUCUGAAAGUUCUAUAUAUAUUUAUUGAUGUUGUUAUGCAUUCGUUCAUUCCUUUACUUUCUAUUCUUUUUGUGUACUUGUACAUAAUUACAAUGACUUAAUCAAUGACUUAAAAAGUUCAUCUUAAAAAUUACAGAAAAAAGGAGCUACUAACAACUUAACCAAGUUGAUAAAUAUCUUACUGAUUAUUCUAAUUUGUAUAGCAAUCUAAACCCAUUAGUUUUGGUGGAACUAUUUUGUAAGGAUAAAUAAAGUGUUUAGAUUAUUGCUUCAUAUUAACUAAUGUGCAAACAUACACAUUAGAGAAGGAAAACACUUAUAGAUAAUAAGUCAUUUCAUCUUUUAUUAAAAAUGUCUCCAACCACACUCACAUCAAUGCAAUUUCCUUCCAAACAAAAAAACUGCAAGUACUAUAAUAUUUAUUAAUUUACUAGUUAACGUGCCUACUUGAUUCUAAUAAACAGAGGGAAAUGUAAAGAUUCAAAAAAGUUUAUGGGAAAAGAAUAAAAAUGAAUUGAUUAGCAGAACCAUACUCUAUAUAUGAAAUAAAAAAACAGAGAUAUUCCAAGGAGAGACAAUACACUUAUACUCUAAACAACAUUAAGAAAUUUAAUUUAUCAUAUAUCAUGAUGUUUUAUCUUAAAGGUAAGUGAUGAGAUAAUAUGAAAAAUUAUAAAUGUUAGCUUUAUUAUUUAAACAUCAAAAUUAAAUUUGAUAACCUUUUCUUAUAAAAAAAAUUAUCACUAAAAUUAACGAAGCAAAAAACUAAAACUAACUUUCUCUUGCAAUGAUAUAUUUGGCCAGGAUAUUCGGUCUUGGUUUUGUGGACUUGGCCUUGUUGAAUUAUUAUGCUUCAAAAAUAAAGGAAAAUGCAACUUCCAAUGAUAUUUUUAUCCUUUUGAAUAUAAUGAAAUUACAUUUUUAUCAGUAAAAACAAAUGUAAAACAUGUACUUGCUUCUCUAUUAAUAAAAAUGAUCAUUAUUCUUGAAUUAUAUGGUAUGUAAGCUAACUUGGAAGAUCAUGAAUAAAAUUGAAUGCAAACAUUUUGAGUGGAUUAAGAAGUAUCUGAAAAUUGUUUUCUCCCAUGCCAUGAGAGAAGGUAACAAAUGUGCAACAGAUCAUGAAACUACUCUAUAAAACUACUCCAACUUGUUAAAAUUAGCAUAUUAUUGCAUCCUAUCCCAAAUUAGCAUAUUCUUAUAUGAUGAUAUUUGAAUUCACAAAGUAUUCUCUUAUAUAUUAGAGAAAAAAUAUAUGUUAGAACGUGUAUCAGUUUUAUAUAUAUACUAUUUGUGCAUCAUCCAUCAUUGAUAUUUAAUUGUUGUUGAAUUUAAAAAAAACAAGUAUUCUAAAUGAAUGAUAGAUGAUGAAGUGUAUCUGUAUAAAUCUUUAUACGUCAGUGUAUAGAUUUACAUUCUAUAUACUAUAUGUGAGAGAUCUACUUACUCAAAAAGUAAGUUUAAAAAAUUUGUUCUUCGUCAUUCAAUGAUUUAAAUUAGUAACUAAAUCUAAAUUAUUAUAUAUCUAUACAAUUAUGUUAUGGGGCAAAUUUAAAAAAUAGUAUUAGAUAUAUGUAAUAAAUUUGUACUAACCCAUGGUAGACACUUGCAAAAUAGAGUUAUACGACCCAAACCAUUCCGUAUAAGCGGGAACUUUUCCGUAACAGAUUCUCGCUUUCGCUUCCACUCUUUCUCUCAUUCCAUCUCUGCUCUCAGAAAAAAUAGUAUGGGAAGAACGUCCAAAUCUGAAGCUUCUUCUGCUUCCGAUGAUGAAUCACUAUCCGAUUCCGAGGAAGAGCAAAAUCACCAGAUCAAUGACCAAGACGACGACGGUCUCGAAGUGGUGGCUCGCUCAUCUAGCUCCGGCGACGAUGAUAAUAUCCCCGACGAUGCUGCUGAUGUAAAUGCAGAUACUGAUGAUGACAAUGAACAGGUAUAGCCACGAUUUCAUGAUCGUGCAUGCGUUUUUUCUAUCUUCAUUUCUAAUUUUGUUAUAGCCAGGGCUUUAGUUUUCAGGUUGCGUAGAAGUUGUUCAAAACUUUAAUGUUAUGUUUAGAUAUAGAAAAAUGAAUUGCUUCGAUUUUUCAUGUUAAGUAAAAUUGCAAUUGAAGCUAGAUUGUUGUAUUUCUCUGAGGUUGAGGUCGUUUUCUAUGGCUAAUGCAUUGUUGCUCGCAUUAUCCGUUAACGUUUUUUUGUUCAACUGUUUCGUUGUAGGAUGAAGGUAAUGUUGAUCCUGAAAUCAGCAAGGGAGAGAAGGCUAGACUAAGAGAGAUGCAAAAAAUGAAGCAGCAGAAGAUUCAGGAGUUGUUGGAUGCACAAAAUGCAGCUAUUGAUUCUGAUAUGGUGCGUGUAUGAUAACUUAACAAUGAUCAUGGAAUUGCUUUACCUUUUUAUGUUACGUUGAUUGAUUUCAUUGUUGAAUAAUUAUUGUUACGUGGAAUGAAGAACAAUAAAGGAAAAGGCCGAUUGAAGUAUCUCUUGCAGCAAACUGAGCUGUUUGCCCAUUUUGCCAAAUGUGAUUCUUCUUCCUCUCAGAAGAAGGCAAAGGGAAGGUAUUUUAUUAAGAUUCAUGAAUAUUAUGCAUUGGCAAUUCCCGUAGAUUAGUUUUAUCUCCAUUAUAUUAUUUCUGAAUUACAUUUUCAUAUCUUUGAAGAUCUUUCAAAGGGUUUGUGAAAUGUCUAUUUAUAUUCAGUAUUUGUGAAAACAAGCUAACAUUAAAUAUUUGAAGCACGGAUAGAGUUUCUACGUGCCCAAGUGUUUUAGAUUGCCUAGUGGAAGCUAUUGUCUCUUAAUUCUCCUGUAUAACUGACCAAUUUUUGGUAUGUUUUCCCCUUUGGAUUUAAUUAUCGCCAUUCUUACAAUUAUUUUAUGUCAUCGAAUAUUGUCUAAAUGUGUGAAAGAAUUUAUUCUGUAAUUUGUUUUAAAUGUUGUCUAUUUUAGGGGACGUCAUGCAUCAAAAGUUACUGAAGAAGAAGAUGAUGAAGAGUACCUCAAAGAAGAAGAAGAUGGUUUAGCAAGCACGCGGCUGUUGACACAACCAUCUUGUGAGUGUUAUUUGGUUAUUGCAAACCUGCAUAUGCAUAGUGCUUUAAUUUAGUGUUUAUUUCCUUUUUUGUGGUCAUGCUACUUCCCCUACUUUUCUCUGUUUUCAUCAUAGCACAUAAUCAUUUUCUUUCCUCCCAUUUUCUAUGUUUGUAUGGGAAUAUGUGGUCAUGUACUUCUGUUUUAAUUUUGGUUAAGAAUGCAUUGAUUGCAUAAACUUUCAGAGGACGUAAGAUUUGUGAAACAAUUUAAAUUGAUUAUUUUUGCAGUAUUAUAAGGCUUUUAUUCUGGUUGCUAGAUUUCUCAUAGGGGCUACAUGUGUUCUCGAUCGAAUACAUUCUAUUUUAUUUUCAUUUCAUUCAUGUACUCUUGCUUCUCUCUAAUGGGUUGUCUGAUACUAUCCGAUUCACAUUUGAUGGAUUGCACUUGAAUUUUGUUUACGGGAUGCUGUUCACCAAAUAUGCAGAUUCUUUCUAUUCAUAUGUAAUAUUUUAAAGUUUCAUUUCAGUUGAUUGUGAAAUUGCUUUUUUCUUCAUCAGGUAUCCAAGGAAAGAUGAGGGAUUACCAACUUGCAGGGCUAAACUGGCUCAUACGGUUGUAUGAGAAUGGUAUAAAUGGAAUUCUAGCAGAUGAAAUGGUAGGUUUAGGUGGCGGGCUUAGAGAAAAAUCUUGCUUAAAUAACUGCAUGUAAAUGUAAUUACCUUAGUAUGUGUAAUUUGAUAUGGAUGAGUUGAUUUAAAUAAGUCGUGAUAACUAAAUAUUUUGUUGAUUUGCAGGGACUUGGUAAAACCUUACAAACAAUAUCUUUGUUGGGCUACUUACACGAGUUCAGAGGAAUAACAGGCCCUCAUAUGGUGGUUGCUCCAAAAUCUACUCUUGGAAAUUGGAUGAAUGAGAUUCGGCGCUUUUGUCCUGUAUUACGUGCAGUGAAGUUCCUGGGUAACCCUGAUGAAAGGGUAAGGCUAGAAUUGCUAGACUGAAUCAUUUGCUAAGAUGUUACAAUUGAUGUUUUCUUUUGACACAUUUGACUGACGGUUUUAAAUCUGCAGAGACAUAUAAGGGAGAAUCUGUUGGUUGCUGGGAAGUUUGAUGUGUGUGUUACAAGUUUUGAAAUGGUAAUCAAGGAGAAGUCUGCUUUACGCCGAUUUAGUUGGCGUUACAUAGUUAUCGAUGAAGCACAUCGAAUCAAGAAUGAGAAUUCCCUACUGUCCAAGACAAUGAGGCUAUACAAUACAAACUAUCGACUCCUUAUAACUGGCACACCACUGCAGGUACGACUUAUUGUUAUACAUGAUGCUGAAAGAUGAAAGUAUGCAAUUUUGUGCAUUAGUUUUGUGAAGGGGAAAGAUUAAAAAGGGAGAAUUUGCUUUGAGCUUGGUAAUUAGUAAGAACGGCACUUAAAUACAAUUUUCAGAUUUUUUAAGUAACAACAGUUUGAGGGUGAUAAAUGCAGAUCUGGACGACAAGUAAUAAAUCCAAUAACAAAGUGUAUAGGGAUACACUGAAAAUAUGAUGCAGCAAUGGAUGAACCUUUAGUAUUGUAUAUGUAUAGAUAAUAUAUGUCACCAAUUUUGCAGUAUCUGCAUUAGAGUUUAUUUUCAAUCAUUAACAAUAAGGUUUUCUCAUUAAUGAUUUUAAGUUAUCUGUAACUGUGGUAAGAUUACAUAAGGAUCACCUUGUCAUAGUGGUGUGAACAGUGCCUAAACAAGGUAGGCAUCAGAGUUUGAAUCCUGUUUCCCAUAUUUAUUACACUUAUUUGGAAAAAAACAUUAAACCGGUUCAACCUCUCUAAGGUUCAUGGUCAGUUUGAUUGGUUCCGAGCGGUUCACUGGGUCAAAUAUCAGUUCUCUUUUUCUUCUUCCCGGUUACAGAACCUUGACAGGAUUGGCUUGUGGACUGGUUCACAGUUUAACCAGUAUGAUUUUCAUUAGGCACCUGUACUCUGUGGUCUCUUAGUAGGUUUUCAUAAGAGAUGAGGUGUUGGGAACCUGUUCACUGAGAAUUUCCAAGUAUAUUCGAAUAAUUAGCUGGUAUUAUUGGCACUCUUGUGUUUUUCCAACUUUCCCUUUCUUUGGUUGCAUGCAUAGUGAGUAUCCACAUGAGCAAUGACCUUGUUUGCUAUCCUUAAUGUUGCAGAACAAUCUUCAUGAACUCUGGGCUCUUCUCAACUUUCUUCUGCCUGAAAUUUUUAGUUCUUCUGAAACUUUUGAUGAAUGGUUUCAAAUUUCUGGUGAUAAUGACCAAGAGGAGGUUGUUCAACAACUACAUAAGGUAAGCUUUGAACCUGCUUUGUUUGUUGAGCACCUGUUAUGAUUGUCCGGUGCAAGGUAAUAUUUUCAUUUUCUGUCUAUUAAGGUACUCCGCCCUUUUCUGCUGCGAAGGUUGAAGUCAGAUGUUGAGAAAGGGUUGCCACCAAAAAAGGAAACUAUUCUCAAAGUAGGCAUGUCACAAAUGCAGAAACAGUACUAUAGGGCAUUACUGCAGAAGGAUCUUGAGGUUGUCAAUGCAGGUGGAGAACGGAAACGUCUCCUAAAUGUAGCAAUGCAGCUACGAAAAUGUUGUAAUCAUCCAUAUCUCUUCCAAGGUGCUGAACCAGGUCCUCCAUAUACAACAGGAGAUCAUCUCAUUACAAAUGCUGGUAAAUUCUGUUUACAUCACGAUUCACUUCAAAAGUUCUUUUUUAGAGUCAUCAAUAAGAUCUGAUAUUAUUUCAUUUUUAUUUUUUUUAAAUAUUUCGUUUGCAGGUAAAAUGGUUCUUCUGGAUAAGUUACUUCCUAAAUUGAAAGAGCGUGAUUCAAGGGUCCUUAUAUUUUCACAAGUUAGUUCUCUCUUUAAGAAUAUUAUUUUUGUCACUGAUGACUAUCAAUGCCUUAUUUUAUGCAGCCUGGUCUAUUUUGUUCUCAUUUUUGCUUAAUUUGUGGCUCCCGCAGAUGACUAGGCUGCUAGACAUACUGCAAGAUUAUUUGAUGUUUCGUGGAUAUCAAUACUGUCGCAUAGAUGGCAAUACUGGUGGAGAAGAUCGUGAUGCUUCCAUUGAGGCUUACAACAAACCAGGAAGUGAGAAAUUUGUAUUCUUGUUAUCUACACGGGCUGGAGGUCUUGGCAUUAAUCUUGCUACUGCUGAUGUUGUCAUUCUCUAUGAUAGUGACUGGUGAGUAUUUCAAUUGAUUGUGUCAUCGGCGUUCUGAUUUGUGAUUUUACCAUAACUAGUUGUUUGUUGCUAAUUUGUGGUGUUAUAACAGGAACCCACAAGUUGACCUGCAAGCUCAGGACCGUGCUCAUAGGAUUGGUCAAAAGAAAGAAGUUCAAGUUUUUCGAUUUUGCACUGAGGUUUGCAAUUUUACACUUUAUUAUUCUGUUCACCAUUUGCUAUGAGACCUAUGUUUUGUAUAUAGGAAGCAUAGAUACAAUCACCUUACAUAGAUUUGACAUGACAGUGGAUACAUCCAAAUUUAAAAAUCAUAUAACAUAACAUAGCUAAUAUAGAACAUAUAAACUUAAUUUUAUCAUUUAAACACAUACUAAACUAGAAUAAAGACAUUAAUGUUUUAGUUAACAUCACUAACUUUGGAUACAAUAAAUACAAUCAUUUAUCAAAUCAGUGUGAUAUCCUACUUGUAUUGGCCCAAUUCCAAAAUAUAAUUGAAAGAUGUAACCUAGAAGUAUCCAAAGAUUUCAAAACUUCAAAACAUAAUUGAAAGAUGUAAUCAUUGUUGUAUCCUACUUGUAUUGGCUCAAAUCAUUUGAGAAGUAUCUAACAUGUUACAACAGUGGUAUGAAAACCAUUUUGUAGAGUUAGAGCUUCUUUUUUUUCUGUUUGUCUUCAUAUCUCUUAUUAUGGUAAUUGCACAGUAUACUAUUGAGGAAAAGGUCAUUGAAAGGGCAUACAAAAAACUUGCACUUGAUGCUCUAGUGAUUCAGCAAGGGCGAUUAGCUGAGCAGAAGAGUAUGGAUUUCAGCAUCAUGUUUCUUAUUUCUUGCAAGAAAUAUGGAUUGUUUAAUAUGGUACAAUUGUUUUGUGUGCAGCGGUCAAUAAAGAUGAGCUACUUCAAAUGGUUAGAUUUGGUGCUGAAAUGGUUUUUAGCUCCAAGGACAACACGAUUACAGAUGAGGAUAUUGACAGAAUUAUUGCUAAAGGAGAGGAAGCAACUGCUGAACUUGAUGCUAAGAUGAAGAAAUUUACUGAAGAUGCUAUCAAAUUUAAGAUGGAUGACAGUAUGUAACACAAACAAUAAUAGCUUGUUUGUUGCCACUAAGUUUAGUUGUGUUUAAAUUCCUCUAUCCCUUCAACCAAAUGUUUUUGCUGCUCACCUGUGUGCUCUUCUUUUAAGUGGAGUUUUGUUGAGCUUUCCUUAUGUGCUUCAUCCUUUCAAAACCUUGUCCCUUGUGCACUAAUUAGUGUGCUAUUGUUCUUGCCUAUUCAUACAUUAAAUUUGGUUCUAGAUACAUACAAUCUACAACUCAUUUGUUUUUACUACUAUACUCUAUAUGUUUAGUGAAUAAUCUUUCGUUAUAACAUGCAUACAAACACAAGAUUUUGGCCCCUGUGGCAAUUUAAUGUAUAAUUUUUUAAACUAAAAUGCAAGUUCAAAUUUACUAAUAUUAAUAUUUUUGUUUUUGUAGCUGCUGAGUUAUAUGAUUUUGAUGACAAGAAAGUAAGCUGACAUUUUAUGUUGUUUUUGCUAGCUAUGAUGAACUCUUUUUUUGCUCAAUUGUGCAUCAACUCCCUUCCCUGUUCUCUUAUCCUUUUAACUGACGUUUGCUUGUAUUCUUUCUUGUUAAUGAAGGAUGAGAAUGAAUUUGAUUUCAAAAAAAUCGUGAGUGAUAACUGGAUUGAGCCACCAAAAAGAGAGAGGAAGCGCAAGUAAGGAUUGCCCUUAAUUCUACAGAGUCACUGACUAUUUUUUCAUGACCUGAUGUAUGAUCAUUUUUGGGUCUUCAACUCUUAGUUAUUCAGAGUCUGAGUACUUCAAGCAAACAUUGCGCCCAAGUGGUCCUACUAAACCAAAGGAGCCCCGUAUCCCAAGGAUGCCUCAAUUGUAAGCUGGUCAUGAAACAAUGUUUUCUUUGUAAUAGUAUUUUUUUACUUACAAUUUUAAAUUCUGUUGUCUUCAGGCAUGAUUUCCAGUUUUUCAACACACAAAGGCUGAAUGAACUGUAUGAAAAGGAAGUACGCUUUCUCAUGGUGGGUAAUAUAAACUUCGUAAUUUACAUUUUUAUGGUUUGGCCAAGCGUAUAAUUUGGGGCAUAUAUUAUUUAACAAAGUUUCAGCAAACACAUCAAAAGAAUCAGUUAAAAGACUCAAUAGAUGUUGACGAACCAGAAGGUACACAAGUGAUGUCCACAUUGUAGCUUUUUCCCUUUUUAUAUGUAUAUAAUUAAUUUAUAUCGAAUAUGUUUAGAGGUGGGAAAUCCGUUGACUGCUGAAGAGUUGGAAGAAAAGGAGCAGCUGCUUCAGCAGGCGAGCAAAUUUCUUUAUAAACUUGGCUUGUAUACAAGUCAAAAUUUGAGUUUUAAUUUCAGUAUUUGGUGAACAUAGGGAUUUUCAUCAUGGAAUCGGAAGGACUUUAAUACUUUUAUCAGGGCUUGUGAAAAGUAUGGCCGAAACGAUAUAAAAGGUCUUGCUUCUGAGAUGGAAGGAAAAACAGAGGAGGAAGUUGAAAGAUAUGCAAAAGUCUUCAAAGAAAGAUACAAGGAAUUAAAUGGUAAGUUAUAGCGAAUGUGAAAAUAAAUUAAUCUUUGUAGUAUAAUACUUUGCAGAAUCCAAAUGAGGGUUAUAUGUGUAAUUUAAAAUACUUUUUUAAUAAAAUAAAUUUGCUUGUUUUGUCUUGGUUCAUUUUCAAGUGUGUUGAUUUGCCAACUGAAGCUUGAAAUUAGUUUCUAAUUAAAAUAUCAGGUGUCUGUAAUUUAUGCAUUUUGAUUUGUCAUAUGUAGAUUAUGAUAGAAUUAUUAAAAAUAUCGAAAGAUGGGAGGCAAGAAUUUCUCGGAAAGAUGAGAUCAUGAAAGCUAUUGGGAAGAAGUUAGACCGCUACAAGAACCCAUGGCAAGAGUUGAAAAUUCAAUAUGGGCAAAACAAAGGGAAGUUAUACAAUGAAGAAUGUGACCGAUUCAUGGUGUGAAUUUCAUUUAUUUAUUUUAUGUCCAGUUCCUUAUUUUGUCUAUGUGUUCUAUAGCAGAAUAUCCUAGCCUUGUUUAACUUUGCUACAGUUUUUUUCCAGAUAUGCAUGGUUCACAAACUUGGCUAUGGGAAUUGGGAUGUACUGAAGGCAGCAUUUUGGAUGUCACCGUUGUUUCGUUUUGAUUGGUUCGUCAAGUCUCGCACAACACAGGAACUAACAAGGAGGUGUGACACCCUCAUUAGGCUGGUGGAGAAGGAAAACCAAGAAUAUGAUGAAAGGGAGAGACAAGCUCGUAAAGAGAAGAAACUUGCCAAGGUUUGUAUGCCUUUUUAACCCAAAAUAUUGUUAUUCUUUAAAUGCACUUUGUUAACAAUUAUUGUUUUACUCAUGUUUUGAUUAAUCUUUCAGAGUAUGACAACCCCAUCAAAGCGAUCAUCGACAAGACAAACAGAAAGUUCAUCUCAGCUGAAGCGCAAGCAGUUAACUACCUAACCUCGGUAUGUUUCCUUGCUAUAUAUGGUAUUAUAUGCCAUUGCCAUCAUCUUGAUUAGUUAGAACUUGCCAUGUUUGCGAUUUUACUGAACCUGAUGGUACUGUGGCAGGGUCAGAGGAAAAAAUAAAUGGACGUAUACCCUACAUUACUUUGUCACUAUGCCUCCACUCAUUUCAUCCACUUUAGUCUAUUUCAUUUCCACUUACAUAUAUUUCUCAUUUUUUAUUGGUUAUGAUGUGGUAAAUUAAUGCUUUUGCUUCACUCUCUCUUUUAUAAUAAUAUAUCAACACCAGAUAAUAAUCUAGCAUAAAUGAUUUCUGAAAGUGCCACAACAAAACAAAGUCAUGAGAUUGUGAGCAACAAUCAAUUUUAAGGAUGAUGGCAGAUUACAUAUAAUAAUAUACAUGCAUGAACAUGAGAUUGUGGGCACAGAGGAUGCCAUAACUUUCUCGAUUAUGUAGAUAUAUUGGAAUUUAUUCCAUCACUCAACUUAAACAUGCAGGAACUGGUGAAUAAUCACUCACUACCUUCUUUUUAUUCUCCUUCCUUUUUGCAAAAUUGUUUUUCAUGUUAGUGAAAUGGUUUUUCUGAAAGGCAAAAAAUGAGAUAAGAAGUAAGGUUAUAUAAGAUUCUGGAAUUUUAUUUAUGGGGUGAUAUAUGCAUAUAAAUUUACGGUAUAAAAAAUUAAACAUUUUUUAUUAAAAACUAGUUACUAAUGGAAGUUAAGGAUUAAACAAUCUUACAGAAUAUAAAUUAUAUUUCAAAGUCAUGUAAUAAUAGUAUUAUACCAUAACAUAAUAAAUAAGACAAAAAUAUUGUUUUGGACUAGAAUUUAGGAAAUGAUAAUAAAAGACUCGUACCUUUUAAUUUGAAGUAUUCUUUUUAUAAAUAAUGUACUCAUACAAGUAAGACAAAAAACCUAAAAUAUAUUUAUGGUAUAAUUUUUAUUUUAAGACUUUGUGGGGGCAAGAUGCCCCAACCUUCUAAGUCCAUACAAAAAUAUUCUUUAUUCUUAAUUUGUCACCAUAUAUUCCAAAGAUAUGUGCAAUUUGGGCUAAGGACCAAUUUCCUACCAGAUAUGAUGAAAACUUUGAGUAUGAUUAGCAAACUAAAACCCAAAACAAGACCAUAAUUAUAAAGUUAUAAAAUGCCUCUAUUUUUAUGCUCACACGAGUAAAUUUUUGCAUGUAUUGAAUGGUAGUAGAGGUUAUUUUCAAGACAUGUAAUGUUUCAUGAGAAACAUUUUAUUUUUUUAAAAAUCUGACAUAAAAGUUUCAUGAACCAUCAUAACUAUUCAUCAAUAUAUAACUUUCAUGAAUCUAGUCAUCAUUUCACCCACAUUGAAUAAAACUAUCUUGAUAACUUUUCAUAAAAUGUCUUAGUUAAAAGAAGAAUAAAAGAUGUAGCUAUUCAUUUCGAAAAAAGCAAAUCUUGCCAAAAUUCGGCUAUAUAUGCCAGAUGAAAUAUUCAUUAAGAUUAAAUACAAAAUAUAUAUGGUCCCAAAAAAUAUAGUCUGUCAUACAUCUACACAAGCAAAUUAAACAUCCUAGAAAUUUUCACGUGCAGAGAAACCAAAAGAGAAGACUUCAGCUUAAAAAUCAUCAUAAACAUUCCCACAGCCUCCUCAUUGUAUAGGAUAUAUACUAUACACACCCACAUCUCAGAAUCAACGUUUGUCUGUUUUGAAUUCAAAAUAUAUGGUUAGGGUAUGACCAAUACGUAUAUAUAUAUAGUAUCCUAGAUAAGGUAUGAAUCAGAAGACAAUCAUAUAGUAAUUAAUUUGAUAUUUAGUUACUUAGGAAGUUAUUGUUGUUAAUUAAGCCUAGAAAACUCGGAUAAAAUUACCUUCAAUACAAGGAUACUUGUGGGAAACCAAAAAAAAAUUAAGGCUAGAAAAACACAUUCUUGUAGUAAGGUGUCUAAGUAAUUAAAGGUAGUCCAAAAGUUAAUCAAGUUGUUAGUUGAGUUAAGCCAUUUAAAGAUCCAGCCUCUUAUACAUAGAUUAUGUAAUUUCAAAGUUGAGAAUUCGGUGAAGACAAUAAUUCAAUGAAGUAUAUCCAGAACAUGUCUCCUAAUGUCUUUUCAACAUGGGAUUAGAAUUCUGAUCAUAUCAGCUUUUUGUCCAUGGAGGUGAAUUCCUACCACACAAACUCUUCAAUGCUGCAUAUAUACCUACACAAUCUAUUCCUAUUGUUAUCCUUCCCAUCCAACCCCAUGAUUUAAGCAAAUUGCAUCAACAAUGAAUUGCACUGCCCAUUGACCCAUAGGAGGAUAAAUUAUAUGAUUUAUAAGUCUACCUUCCACAAUAAUUUGAUUCUUACAUACCCUUUGAUUUUUUCCUAAAUAUAAGAUUAAACUAAUAUUAACACUCUAGUGAGUAUUCUGGUGUAUUAUAGUAAGCCGCAGGGUACAAGAAAAAAAGGUUUAUGAUAUUCUUAUAACAAAACUUAAAAAUAAAUUAGGUUCUGAUAAGGCCAUGUUUGGCUUUCACUGUUGCCAUUGCACCAGAAAGUGAGAAAUAUGUAUGAUGUUUUGAUUAAAGCCAAAGUGCUCCAGCAUCUCUAAGCUUUUUCUUGAGUGAGCCAUUGAGGUGAAGGGUUAUGACCAUGUUAGCUGAACCUACAAACUUGCCACCAAUGAAUACUGCAGGCACAGAAGGGUUGCACCCUAGUCUCAUGAGACACCACUCUAUUUCCUUCCCCCUUGACUCUUCAUCUAGCUCAUAUAUUGCAGGACUCACCCCAAACUCAUAGAAUAGUCUCUUAAUCGCAUGACACAUCCCACAUGAGCUCUUGCUGAAUAUCACCACUGCCUUUUGUGAUAUCAAUUUUGCCACACGAUCCAUCUUUAUCUUUAUUGUGUAUCUAUGAUAGUUUGAUGUGAGAAAAGAGAUAUAGAUCGAAAAGUGUAAGUAUAAAAGAUGUUUAAUUAGAUUAUAUGAUGAAAGGAGAAGUAGAGGAAGUUGGGCUGGUUAAGUUUAAUAGUUUGUGAUGUCAUCAAGGGUUUCAUGGCUUUGUGUAUUUAUAUAGGGAAGAGUAAGGACAUGUAUGAAAGGGGUUAAGCAAGGGAAAGAAAAGAUGGAUGAAUAGAUGAAGGUUCUUUAAAAUAGUUGCCAAAAAAUACCCUUCUUUGAUUUCGACUUGUGUGGUAUGUUAGUUCUAACUAUCCAUAUGAUGUUUCAGGUAAAAACUUCUAAACUUGAGAAUAACAUUUAUGAAUAAUAAUUUAAAGUCGUGGACUUCUUAUUAAGAGACUUCGCAUGAACAACGAUAAUGUCUAAGAGGAGAUCGGAGUUCUUAUUUCAAUUUUUAUCUAAUAAAUAAAAUUUUAUUUCAUUCUAUAUAAAAUAAUAAAAAUAUUAUUACAUAUUGUUUUUUUCCUUGAAUGUAUAAAACAUAACACAUAACAUCAAUAUACAUAAGUAUAUGUUAGGGUUUUGGUAUCCAAGGUAGUUGGAUGAGAAAAAGAAUAUGAAGUUAGGCAAUAAAGAUAAGAGUGACCCCAAAAAAAGAAUGUCAACUAUGGUAUGGAUAGAGGAAUGUAGAAAGUGGGAAGAGCAUGAAGAUGUGACUCAUAGCGGAUACUAAUAGUUGCAUCCCACCUCAUAAGUAUAUGUAUGAGGUGAUCAAUAACUAACUAGGGCUUUUUGGUUCAAGUGUACACUCACUUUAAUAUUUGUUCUUUUCAUUUUUUAUCUACUCUUUUAAUAACUAUCUAUUGUUAGAACCAUUUCGAUAGAAUUUUGUGUUUGGAAAACGUGUGUGAAGGAAUUGCAAAUGAUAAAAAUGGGAGAGAUAUACAUAAUAAAAAGGGUAUAUAUAUAUAUAUAUAUAUAUAUAUAGUUUAGUUCAACUCAACUACAUUGUUUAAGAGAACUGCAAGAAAUCCAUGUGAUAAGUUUUCAAUUUUUUUCUUUUAGGUUGCCGAGGCUGCACGAAAACUCGGAAUCUUUCUAAUUUCUGAUGAAGUUUAUGCCCACAUAGCUUUUGGAAGCAAUCCAUUUGUGCCCAUGGCAGUGUUUUCAUCAAUAGUGCCUGUUAUUACAAUCGGCUCUUUGUCAAAAAGAUGGUUUGUUCCUGGUUGGAGAUUUGGUUGGAUAGCCACAUGUGACCCCAACGGAAUUCUAAAACAAACUGGGGUUGGUUUUUAAGUUUUGCUCUAAGAAAGGUUACAUGUAUAUUUAAAGCAUUAGUAGAAUGAAAGCUUUUUCUUCUCUUAGAAAUCCAGGUAUUUGAUUGUUACACUAUAUGAAUUAUGAACUAAGCAAUUGUUUAAUUUCUUUUAUCAGAUUUUGACACUAAUCAAGAGUUAUCUGGAGAUCUCAACUGAUCCUCCUACCAUUAUCCAGGUAAAUAAUGGAAAGCUAUCAUAAAGUAAAUAGUAAAUACCAGAGUAACAAAAAAUACUAAAAAGAACGGUUCAAUGCACAAGGCUCACACCUAGUAAAGUAAUAUAUGCAGCCUUACCCUCUUACCCUGACGAGUGAAGAAGUUGUUUCCGGAGCAACAGAAAAUUACUGUUGUAAAAUAUUACAUCCUUGAUUUCUUUGACCGAAUAUAUAAACACUCAUAAUUUAUAUACAUGCUUGUACUUUGUAUGCCCAAAUACUUUUUAUCUUUUUGGCAUUCUGUUUUCCCAUAAAACAAAUUUUGACUUGUAAUAUUUACAGGCUGCAGUGCCUGAAAUCCUUAAGAGAACAAAAGAAGAGUUCUAUGCAGAAAAUCUUAAUAUAAUGAGGGAGGGUGCAAACAUAUUUUAUGAUAGAUGUAAGGAGAUACCUUGCUUGAAAUGCCCUCACAAACCAGAAGGGGCAAUGUCUAUUAUGGUAAGUAGCCGAAAGAGUUUAAAGGUUUUAAUAAUGCUAUGAAUUUAUCAAUGAAUCAUCUUUAAAGAAUAUCAAUUAAUGGUAAAUUGAAUGGAGCAGGUGCAGAUUAACAUUUCACAACUUGAGGGCAUUAUUGAUGAUGUAGACUUCUGUGUCAAGCUGGCCGAAGAGGAAUCUGUACUACUACUUCCUGGUAAGAAUUUUCUCCGGUCACCGGAAUCUCUGAUCCAUCAAUUUGGUGAAGAAAAUAAAGUUAUGAUGAGAAUUCUCUUCAUCUUCUAUAAUGCUUGUAGGUGUCAGUGUUGGACUAAAGAAUUGGCUUCGGAUUAGUUUUGCAGUUGAACGUUCUGCCCUCGAAGAUGGUCUUACCAGGAUAAAAGCAUUCUGCCUUAGACAUGCUAAGAUGUCAUAAAAUCAUGCAUGGAAAAUUAAGAGAUCUGAAAAAGUAUAUGUGUUGGCUCAUUUGGUGUGUUAUAUAUUAUAGACCAUUUAUUUGGCCAAAUAUGUGGAGAUAAUUGCAUUUAAGUUUAGGAUUCAGUAUGCUAGAUUUAAAAGUGAAUUAUGGUAUUCCUACUAUUGCUUGGUUGCAAUGGUGGACUGUUGUUUAUUGUGGUUGUUAUUGCAUUAUACUUUUGAACAUUGGUUAUGAUUUUGGUACCUUUAUCAAUUGACAUUAUUUAAGAUUUAGUUGUUGUUAUUGUUCAAAGAAAGGAUGAAACGAAGAAUGAAAAACACAACUUCUUCUUGAUAGAGAAUUUCUUGAAUAACAAGACAAUAAGGAAAAACUUCUUGAUCUUUAUUAGAAAAGCUUGAAUUGAUUAACAAAGAUGAAACUCUGAACUUAUAGGCAAGGGAAAAGAAAAACAGAAUAACAAACUUGCCUAACUACUUAAACUAACAAAUUAGCACGUGUUACAUAUGGCAAAAAUCACUAAAACAAUGAUAACUUGGGCUACAAGUAAAGGAAAGCCCAUUAAUCUUAAGCCUUUGAUUCUACUUGGGAUGUAAUAAUUGGUCUUGAUUUGAGUUUGAUGAGUGCCUUAAAUGACCCUGCCUUCAUGGUAGGCUUGAGAAGCCUGAUGUGUGUCCAAGCCAGAAUUGAUUGGUCUUGAUUUGAGUUUGAUGAGUGCCUUGACUGGCCCUGCCUUCAUGGUAGGCUUGAGAAGCCUGAUGUGUGUCCAAGCCAGAAUUGAUCUGGUGCGCCCUGCCUAGGUGUUGGUGCAUCUGUUGGGCACUGCUCUGGUGCGCCUUGCUCUGGUCCUGGCAGGCUUGAUGCGCCUUAGGUUGGCGUUGAUGCACUUGGUGUGCCUGGGCGUGGCGCUGAUGCACCUGGGCGUGGGACUGAUGCACCUGGGCGUGGCACUAAGGCNNNNNNNNNNNNNNNNNNNNNNNNNNNNNNNNNNNNNNNNNNNNNNNNNNNNNNNNNNNNNNNNNNNNNNNNNNNNNNNNNNNNNNNNNNNNNNNNNNNNUAUAUAUAUAUGAGGAAUAAUGAGAAGUGUGGUGAAACAAGCAAAAAAUAAUUUUAAUGAAAUUCAUUAAUACAAUUGAUACACAUGGCAGGUGAUUACUAUAAUACAUGAAGGUUUUUAAUGCUUAAAAUUAGCCAUUAAAAAAAAGAAAAAAAUGUAUGCACUGACAGUGUAUGAGUUUUAUACACUGUCAUUGUAUCAUCACCAUUAAUUUUUUAUUAUUAUUGACUUUUCAAAAAAAGUAAUCCAAAUGAACGGUGGAUGAUAAAAUACAUGUGUAUAAAUCUUUACACUAUCAGUAUAUACAUUUUACAUCCAAAUUAGAUCAACAAGUGCUUUUUCAACUAGAUAGGUACAUUGUAUUAUGCUUAUGGCUUAAGGUCGUAAACAGUGUUAAGUUUCUUUGAGGUAAAGAUAUAUGCUAUGCCGCAAGCAAGGACAAAUCAUAAAGAUCGUGAGCAUCAUAGGUAGGCAAUCUUAAUAGAAUUUCAGAAUAUUUUUCUUGUUAUAAAUAGUGUAUAAUGAACAUUAUAAAUGGCAAAAUCUUGUGAUUAUCUCUAUAUAUUCAUCGAUGCUUUAUUCCACAAUCGAAAAAUUGUCAAACAAAUUGAGAGAAUUUUCCCUUUCAGUUGUGCUUUUGGGAGGGUUUGGAUACUUCAUAAGAGUUAAGCUAUUCAAUUAUCUUUGUCUUCUAUCGUGAAAAGUAUUAAUUAAUUAGAAAAGGGAAAAGGGCACGUAAAUAACUUGAGUAAUGUCAUAUGUAAAAUUAAAAUUAAAAAGUUUCUUUUAAAAAACAUAAAAUUACUUUCGUCUUCACUUAUGUUCCAUUUUUUAUCUCUUAUCUUAAAAAACAAAUCUAUUCAAAAUUCAAAUGGGCAAUUAAAAAUUUUGAUGCCUUGAUUGUCAAAAUAGUUGUUAACUUAAUUAUGCUUCUUCCUUUCUCUUUCUACGGGAGAAAAAGAAUAUAUAUCAUAAGUUUACAAUCUUAUAGUUAUAAUUAAGAAAGUUGACCUACAAGGUGUUAGUAUAGUGAUAUAAGGUUUAUCUAAAUCUAUAGUAUGACCAAAAUGUCAAAUGUUCGAUUCUUAUAAACAAUAUUGUUGGGAGUGACAAUUACACAUCCUAAAAGAGAUUAGUCAUUUACUUAAAGGGGUUAUAGAAUAUCCUUAGUAGUACAAAAAAAUUAGGAAGAUUCAUUAUAUUAUAUAAGUGAUUGUUACACAAGAUUAAUCAUAAAGAACAAAGAAUAAAUAUGAGAAUAAGAUAAGAAUGUUUUGUCAAAGAAGUUUGACAAAUUGUAAAUAUAUCCUCAAAAACAUUAAAUAACUACUCCGAUAUUAGUAGAAAAUAAAGAUUAUGAAAUUUAACAUACCUAUAUCCCCAAAACCCAUGAAAUGUUUCUAAGUUGUGCACAUUGUAAUAAGAAAUAUAAAAUGUUGAUUUCUUUCAUCUAUUCUUAUGUUAGAUAUUAUUGGACUUCAUAUAAUAAUAUAUUUUAAGUAUCCUAACAUAUAUAAUUUUAUAAGAUAAUUGUGUAAUUUACUUUUCAUGUUAUUACAUAUUUCAUCAUAUAGGAUAAGAAAAAAAAUGUUAAAAACAUUGUCCAAAAUGAAGAAUUGAAUAUUGUACAAUACAAUUAUGAUGGCAUAUUGAGAAAUAGAAAGAAAAAAAAAGAUUACAUGAAUUUAGCAUUAUCAUAUUUCAAUUGAUGUGAAGUACUCAUUAUGGGAAAAGUUAUGCAAAUUAUCAAAUACAUCAAUUAUUAUUGUUAUGAAAUACGUAAUAAGGAAGUUGUAAAUUAGCCGAUAAAAAAAAGGAAGUUGUAAAUUGUACAAUAGUAAUUAUAAUUAUAGAUAAUUAAGAAAAUGUGCUGCUUAUUUCUUUUUAACUUUUUAAUUUUCAUCAUCUUUAGUAGCAAAGAGAAUAAAAUAUUUAUGUAGUUCAGCCGCCUAAUCUUAGUGCAACUUCUUAAAUAAAAAUUUGUAUUGAUAAAAAAAACUAACUGGUUUUAUCAUGAAAUAAAUAUAUUAUUCCCAUCUUAUUCAACUAUCAUUUUUUGUUACUAAGAAAUACCAUUUUCUGUAAGAAAUUAAAUCAUUUUGAGUAUGUGACUAAUUUUACAAGUAUUAUUAUAGUGAAUCAAAUCUCAAACACAAACAGCAAAAUACUACAUGCAUGUAUGUUGUAUUUGCCCUAGCUGUAAGUAUGUGAGCAUGCAAGUUACGUAGAGUUAAAUGAACCAAAGAAGUAGCCCUUGGCUUCUACACAUAGCAAGUUAACCGAGACAAUACCUUAACUAAAUCUAUGGGAAUGAGCCCUCUACCAUUGAUGUACGCAUUUACAGCGAUUUUUUCUUCUUUUUCAGGUGGACCAACAUACAAAUGUUGGGUUUAUUCAAGUGUGAAGUCUCACAUUGGAUAUGCAAGGAAGAGUGAAAGAGUUUAUAAGAAGAAAAGACACAUGGAACUAAUGUCUCACUUAUGACUCUUCACUCUUUUCAUACCCAUGUAACAAUGGAACUCCCCGGUCACAGUCUGGUCCAACACCAAAACGUGGCACCAUUUGACACUAUAUAAACACACAAGGGUAUAUGUGAAAGCGAAAUGCGCGACCAAGCAUCGCUUCACUUGCACCAUCUAGUUGGUGACGAACAAAAGAAUCGUAUGCAACAUAUAAAUUAAUUAACAAUAUAGAAAACUCGAUCUUAUACACAUAUUAUCUUUCAGGUUAUUAUUUUAUAUUUCAACUAUCAUAAUAUAGAGCUUUAAUCAUAUUCCCCUUUCUAGAAUUGGAUGCGAAUCUAUAUAGCCAAAAGGAGGUCCCAAUUGGAUAAAUUCAACUUUUCUUCCAGCGCAGAAAAUUCCUCAAAGAUAGAUAAGAGACAACAGAAACUUCCAGUAUUACAAGCAAAAAUAUGUAAUACUUUCUUGCCUAUGUACAUGCAUGAAGUUAACAUGUGAAAUAUUUAUGAAGGGAUAAAUAUUAUGAAACUGUAGCAAGGACUCGUUUUAAAUUGUUUCCGUAUGCAUGCAUGGAUAAAGAAUCGUUGGGUAGUAAUAAAGUAGAUCUACUUUAAUUUGGAUCAAUCACUUUCAACAAAUGAGAAAACAAAAAAUUGAAGCCGACCCAAAUAUCUAAUCAAUGAUUCUCCUAUAUUUUCUCCUUAGCCUCUUUUGCUUAUCCACAAAUGCAACCGUACAUUCCUCAAACCCCUAUAUAAGUAAGUCACAUUUGGCUUUAGCUCAAUCACACCAAAACCCUCAACUACACAUUCAAUUCCUAGCUACAUUUGCUUAUAAUUGCUUAGCACAUUCUCAUUCACAAACUUGCUAGCUUUUCCAAUUCCUACUUCCAAAUAUAAUACUUGACAUUGUUCCAUAUUAGGCUACAUUUGUGAGCUUGUGUAGCACAAUGGACAGGGUGACAAAGAUGGCAUCAGAGAGACCUGUAGUGAUCUUCAGCAAGAGCUCAUGCUGCAUGUGCUACACCAUCAAGUCCCUUUUUGGUGACUUUGGGGUGAACCCAGCUGUUCAUGAACUUGAUGAGAUACCAAGAGGUAGAGACAUUGAGCAAGCUCUUUCAAGGCUAGGCUGCAAUCCGGCCGUGCCCGCCAUAUUCAUCGGUGGCGAGUUUGUUGGUGGAACCAAUGAAGUCAUGACCCUUCACCUUAACCGCUCCUUGAUCCCAAUGCUUAAAAAAGCUGGAGCUCUUUGGCUUUGAUCACAACUAUAUGACCUUGUCACACAACUUAUCAGCCACUACUAAAUAUGUUUGGUAUAUCUAUCUAUAAAUAUAUAUAUAUAUAUAAGGCGAAGAUCGAUAUAUAUGAUAUAGAGUUUACGGAUAUAAUAAUAAGGCCAACUUAACUGAUAGAGUUAUAUUACCCUUUUUUUGGGUGAUAAAGACUUUUUUUAUAACUAUGUAAUGUUAUCCAUUUGAUAACUAUAAUAUAUCAUAUGGAGUUUCAGUCUAUAAAAGUGUAAGCAUUAGGUCAAUGAAUAAGUGGUUUAUCAGCAUUUUCACAAAACUAAUUUCAAGUUAAAUGUUGAUUCCUUAAUAAACUUGCAUAGCUAAAAGUUCACAGGGAAAAGAUGGAGAGAUCGACAAUGUUGUUCCUUUAAUAACUGGAAAUGUCAAAGGAAUCAUCACUAGUUAGUUAGUUAUCUGAAAGAGAAAGAAAUCUUACAUAUAUAAGUGAAUUGUGUUACUUUCUAACUUGUAAAAAGAAUAAUACUAUUGGAAUUAUGAAUUCUAUAAAAUAUUAAAAGUGGAAUAGAAGAAAAUCUUCAUAGCAAAAUGAAAUGGCAUAUGUAAUAGUGGCGUAUGUGAUUCGCUAGAAACUGGUCAUGUUGUAGCACUAAGUUGAGGAGGGACAAAUGCACAUAAUGGAAUAAACUCAAUAGUAUAUGUGAAUGAGACAUAUGCAUAAACAUUAUGCACAUAUGUUACAUCACAUCAUCCAAUAGUUUAUAUACCAUACUUAGAGAAAAGACAAAGGGAGGAAAUUAAUGGACCAUGUACAUCACCAUGGACCAUGCCUCCUGGCGAAAAUUGUGGAUCCAGAGUGGACAUGAUGGAAGAAUAACAUGAUAGAACAUUAUAACAUC
RNAcentral lists this long non-coding RNA (44631 nucleotides) under Lupinus angustifolius (narrow-leaved blue lupine). RNAcentral describes it as "long non-coding RNA (LANG_LNC000002)". The record is from RNAcentral. Lineage: Eukaryota; Viridiplantae; Streptophyta; Magnoliopsida; Fabales; Fabaceae.